Molecule: long non-coding RNA, 76618 nt
Filed under: Ananas comosus (pineapple)
Lineage: Eukaryota; Viridiplantae; Streptophyta; Magnoliopsida; Poales; Bromeliaceae
Description: long non-coding RNA (ACOM_LNC027346)
Source: RNAcentral
AUUAUAUAUAGCUUUCGACUGUUAAACUCAUCCUGAUUUGUGAAUUGAAUCAAAUUUCUAACUUAAAACUGGAAAACCAAGUAAAGAAGGGCCUGCAAAAGUGCUUUAUAUUGACAAUUGCGGACUCACCAAAACAUAGGUAUCCUUCUCAGGAUCAAACUCAUCCAUAAUUACUGAUCCCCAUGUUCCAAACUGUCGGAGAGGAAGAACCUUAAAACCCGGCAGAGAAGCUUGAGCUCUUCCAUGCAAAAGUAAAAAAAGAUCAUAAUUAAUCAGCAUAAACCCAAUAAAAUUGGUAUGCAUAAGAUUAAUAUGAAGCAUCAGGAACAGGAUUAUAAUCACUGGACUCUCAGAAUUUAAUUUCUACACAAAGGAAGAGAGAAGUAUCGGCUGCAUGUGCUCGAUGACAAAGCUCACUACAAGUAUAGUGACGAAAAAUAAGUCUUGUUAUAUUAUUGUUUUCGUUAUGGCUUAUGUUUUGUUCUUACUAACUUAGGACCACAAUUGAGAUAGCAAGAUCAUAUUGAGAUAAUGGUAGCAUGAUAAUUACUCAGUUUUUACCUAUGAUGUACCUUACACUUACGAAUCAGAGGAUCCACACUUACGCAGGUCUAAGAUACUAAAAUGCAAGGAGAGGAGAAUGGAUAAUUAAUAAGGAUUGUUCCAUCAUUUUGAGAGAAUUGAGGGAGGAGGCUAAUAGAAAUAUAUAUAUUUUUAAAAAAACUUACACUUCCUCAGGCUCUCGGACAUCAAUCAACUGAGCUUCCUCAACAAAACUAGGGUAUUGCAUUUUGGAGUGAAGCUCCAGUGGCUCGAUAUCUUGAAGUAUACAUUCUUCCCUGGCAUAGUAGUAAACUGGAUAAAAAAUCACAACAUACAACUCUCCGAUGAUGAAGCCACAGCUUGUACAGAUGUUAUGAUUCUUUACCUCUCUGAGAGCACUUGCAGCAAAUGCCAUCCAAAUUUAGUCUUGCAACGCACAACUUUGUUUACAGGAGCAUUAAACGCAGCAUCUUCAAAUUCUGGAACCUGCUCAAAUUUCACCAAGUGGUUUAUUCAAUAUUCGUGUUAAGGAGACAAAUAACACACUUUACUCAUUUAUAUUGAUAUAUAGUAAUUAUGUUCUCAAUACCGUUUGCCCUCUUCGGAUCCACCCGAGCAUUCCACCAUUUUCCUUUGACGGACAUAUCGAAUACUCCACAGCCAAAUCGCUCAAAUCUACUCCUGAAAUGUAUCAGCACGAAGAAUCAUGAUCGACCCUUUCCUACAUAUAUAUAGGUACGUCCGAAUGGUAAAGAAAUAGUCUUCGAUAAAAGUAAACACAGUUGCCCAUUUAACAACAAAGUUUAACCAAAGCUCCAUGUGAAGACAUAGAAUUAUCGUGUUGGUGUUCUGUUAUAACUAUUUUAAUACAUUCUCCGUAGCAUCGUAAUUGACCCUACGAUUUCCCACUGUGCUGUACCAUGCUGACACCACAAUGAAGUUGAACAACUGGUAAUGUUUUGCAUAUAUGAGUUUUUUAAGUUAAUUCUUGAGUAAAUUCCCAAAAUUGAUCAUGUCCGGGAAAGGAAGAGGUAAGAAGGGAAUUGAAACAUUCGUAACCAACUUCAACCUACUUAGUAAAAGUUAGGCUAUUGGUCUUUGGGAUGUUUUAAUCAUUUAUGUUCAACACAUGAUAAUACAAUAAAUAAGUAGCUUAACCAAGCUAAAAAAAAACAUACAGCAUCUGAAAACGGGGAAAAAAGUAGUUUUUAACCAAACCAACCUCCCGAAAUCCGUUGUUGGAGCUCCACCAAAAGCUUAAGAUUAUCCUCACCAACAAGCAGAUGCUGAACCAGAAGCUCUUUAUUCUCUCUUCCACUACUACUUCCACCACUGAACAGAGCUGUGGACACAAGAAGAAACAGUAAUCCAAACCCAGUUCAGUAAAAACAAGGUAAAUUCGUAUAGACCUUAUCUGAACCAUCGCAGAUUUCUGAAACGGGUACCUAAACUGUAAAUUUUUUUUAAUUUUGCUACCUAACCUUACAACUCUUCCUAGUUUCUAACAAUUUCUCUGAAAAUCUGAUCAAAUUCUUGCGGAAAACGAGUAAAAUUUCCCAAAUUCAUGAAAAACUCAAGGGAAUUCUCAACGAAAGGGAUCAAAAGAUGAGUCCUACCUCUUCCUCGAACCCUCGGAUUAGCCAUAAUGGAGGGGCUCCGCCUAAAGAAGCGCGAAGUGGAAUUGUUUCCAAUUGGGGGGCGUGAAGAGCGUGGGAUUUGAGGUGGGGCCGUAGAGAGGGAGGAGACGAAGUAGGGUUUAAGGGAGGAGGAGAAGGGGAGAGAGGAGAGGAGUGGGAUUCGCAAAGAGGAGGAGGAGAAAGAGGGGAAAUGGGUCGCUCGAAACAUUUCUUUCGAUUUUUGUUGGAUUUUUUUUAAAAGAAUUUCGCUUCUCGAUUCGAUCUUUAAAAGUGGUUCGAGCAUGUAAUAUCCCUUAUGGCUCGGGCUUGUAUAUUGCUGUUCUUGGUGCUUCUGGUCGCGGAUCUGAGGUAACGUAAUCGGUACCGAGGCUAGAGAGGUAAGGAAAUAGAGAUAGAAAUUGGGAUUGAGAUAGAGAGAAGAGAAAUAGAGGUAGAGAGAUAGGCAGAUGAGGAUUGAGAGGUGAGGGUUAGGGAAAAAAGUUGGGAUAGAGAUAGAAGAUAGAGAAGAAGAAGGGUUUGGAGAAGAACCUUUGGGGGAGAAAUAGACUAUUUCAUUUUCAUUGAUACCCUGCGAAUUACAUCCUGCUAACUAUAUAUAGCCUAUACAACUUGUACUGAAAUUGAAAUUAAACUAUCCUAAGAGGACUUAACAGCAAUUUGUCAAAAAUAGGAAUGAGGCCUGAUGGGUUCAAUCCGGUUGCCUUGAGGGCCUCGGGUGGGCUUGUUUGGUCCAAAUCGCCUGGGAGGCGGGCAAACGGACUCGGGUCCGCCCUUCUCUGCACUACCCGCAACCCUGCGGGUUUUGGGUUCGCCAUUUCGUCCCGAUCCGAGCUCCUGGUUCGCCCGACCCGUGCGUAACGGUAAGUGGGCGUCGGUUCCUGCCUUCUCCGCAUCAUCCGCCAGCUCUCUCUCCGUCGCCCCAACUACAUGGAUUUCGUCGGACCUCCCGUCGCUCUCUCCGAGCUUUGAGGAUGCCCUAGCUCAGUCGAGCUCGCCUGAGCCCCUUCGGAGGCUCCUUCCCGCCGGAGUUCCGCUCGAGCGCCUUCCUGCCGGAUCGCUCCGCCAAGCUCGUUCCCCACCAACCUCCUGCUGCACUUCUCUUCUCUACUUUGUAAAGUUGACAUUUUUACUACUCUCCCAUGCUAACUACUGCUUCUACCAUUUAUUCUUCAGGGUUGUUACAGAGCAGUGAUCGGCGAAGUUUGAAGUCGGUGAUGGAAAAGAGAGUCGCCGCCGUAUUUAAUGGUGGUGUGUUUACGGUUGGGAAAGUUUAAUGGAUCUCGGCCCAGAAUCAAAUAAAGCCCAAGAGAGAUUUAACGGAUAUUUUUCUUUCUGGGCCGAGCCCAACUUGGCCUGUAAAAUUUCAUAUACAUUUAAAAGUUCAAAUUUGGUCUAAAAUGAUUGGGUCAGGUUAAGUACUUAAAUCUCUAGACUAAGAGCUAAAGGACUGUUCAGAACACAAAAAAUGGAAGGUGGAAGUCGGCGAUCAUGGGAAACUCGUGAGGCCUUUGGAGAUGCAGCGCUUGGUGGGUAAAAGUUAGAGGCGAAAGUUACCGCGACGUACUUCUGUUUUCAUAGCGACCGUGAGCUCCGAUAUGGCUAGAGCUUAUGACUUUGCCUCCCAUCCGCCCGCUUUCAUGAUCGACGUAUUAGUCUCAUAUCGGAUGAAAAUAGCAUUAUUAUUGGAUAUAUAAGAGUACUCCAUACUGAUAAUAAUAACUGAGUUUAAGUAUUUUGGGCUGGUUGUUUGGGCUCAACGAGUUAUUAUUGACAGCGAGUUGGGUCAUUGCAUUUGAUGUUAGAGCUGCGUGAGAUGAGUUUUGUCUGAGUUAGGAUCGGAAUGACAGACUAAGUCAGAAUCAGUGAAUAAUAAGUUAAAUCAGAGUCGGAAUUAUAAGUUGAGAGUUUCAUCCAACCAAACACACUCUUCUAACUAAAGAGAUGAAAAAUCGGACUUUCUGUUCCGCUCUAUUUCAAUUAUUUGCUAAAUCUGACUCAAUUUUCGGAGCGUCAUUUGUUUAGAAUCUGCAUGCUGAUCAGGUGAAAUGCUCACGGGCAAACUUUGAAGUUAAGUCUAAAAUCCAGCUGUGAGGAGGUGUUUGGUCUCUAUCGAGCUGUUAGGGACUAAUUUUUCAAAAAAGUGGUUAUCUUCUCUAGAAAUCAAACCACAACUCAUGCCCUUUGGCAUUGUCACUCCAAUUCUCGAUUUACACGGGACUGUAGAUUAGAUAAUGGAUAUGUAAAUGAAGUAAGAUUCUAUGGAGACACCAUCGACUAUGGAUUGUGAAAUAGUUUUUUUUUUUUUUUUUUUGACACACCUCAAACUUUAGCUAUUAAAAUUAAGUAAAAACAUUUAUUAAAUAGAACAGUAAUAUAUAUAUAUAUAUAGAGUGAGGCUACUAUGCUAUCGGAAGCACGGAGCCUUCCGUGCUUGCAGCUCGUUUUCGAUGUUGCGACUUUCGAAUCGUCGAUCGGCUCCGUUAAACUUGAUCUAGAAUAUUUGGAGUACCUAGAAAAUAAAUUUUAUUAUUUUUUGAUAUCAUUUGCCUAGUGAUCGAAUGAGCUCAAAAUCAACAAAUUUCAAUGGCCGUAGUGAGCCGUUUGCAAGUUUAACGGUGUAGAAAUAUCCAAAUCACAUGAAAUUUUGAUAAAAAAUUCUUUAUACUAUAUAAAACAAGAUCAAUAUCUUUGAUUUAAAAUUUUAAUGUCAUAUUAUUACAUUUUGUAAGAUUUUUAUUUUUAGCCAUUGAUUUUGAGCCCCUUCGUUCACUAGGCAAAUGAUAUCGUAAAAUCAUAAAAUUUAUUUUCUAGGUAUUUCAAAUACUCUAGAUCAAGUUUAAUGAAGCCGAUCGACAAUUCGAAAGUCGCAACAUCGAAAACGAGCUGGAAGCACGGAAGGCUCCGUGCUUCCGAUAGCAUAGUAGCCUCACUAUAUAUAUAUAUAUAUAUAUAUAUAUAUAUAGAGUAGAGCCUGAAUACUAUCGGUAGUAACGAGCCGUUUUAUACUACCCAUUUGUUUUCGAUAAUAGAGCUUCCAAAUUGACGAUCGGCUCCGUUAAAUAUGAUCUAAACCAUUUAAACUAACUAGAAAUCAAAUUUCAGGCACUUUCGAUAUUGUUCUUUAUCCAUCAAGUGAACAGAAAAAUGAAUGGCUGAAAAUGAAUACUUUUAAAAAAAUAUGAUAGGAGUCUUGUAAUCAAGAUCAAGAGUAUAGAUCUUGUUUUAAAUAGUUUAAACAAUUUUCUAACAAAAAUUCAAUUGAUUUGGAUAUCUUUACGUGUUAAACGAGAAAACGUCUCUUAUCGACAUUAAAUUACAAAUUUUAAAACCUUUGAUCAUUAGACAAAUAUGUCGAAAAGAUUUGAAAUUUGAUUUCUAAAACACUUCAAGUGGUAUAGAUCAUAUCAACGAAGCCGAUCGUAAUUUGGAAGUUCUAUCAUCGAAAACAAAUCGUAGUAAAACGGCUCGUUUACUACCGAAUAGUAUUCUAGCUCACUACUAUAUAUAUAUAUAUAUUGUGGUGGUAAGAGUCAACAAUCCAAAACUAGCUAUAUUAGGCAAUAAUAAUAUAUGAAAAAAAAUCUUUAGUAAGGAGCUCCUUAACAACACAUUAUUAAGAAGUUUCUAUAUACUACCAUGUGUCAAUUUUGUCUCCAUUCAAAUUUUUUUUUUUUUCUUGAAAUUUAGCAUUAUAAAAUACCUAACAAAUUUCAGGAUGGAGACAAAACUAAUACAUAUAUAAUAGCGAAUUAGAAACUUUCCAAAAUAUUAUCGUAUUAUGGGUGCGUUUGGUUCGCAUUAUAAAAGAUUAUUAGGAAUAAAAGAUAUCCGAGAAUUUUAUUCCUAUUCAUUCUAUUAUUAAGAAUGUGAAAUUCUUGUGUUUGGUUCGCACGGUAAUAUUAAUUAGCCAUAUUAUUUAAUAUUAAUUGCACAAAAUAUACAAUUAAUUAAUUUAUUUAUUUAAUUUUAGAUAAUGUUACCAAAAGUUUUAACAUCUUUUUAGAAAAAAUGGAGAGAGAGUAUAAGUUAGAGAGAGAGAGCAUAAUUAAAAAAAUAGAAAGAAAAAUAUAGUCGAAAUUAGAGGGAGCGAGAGAGUUGAAAUUUUAGAAAGAGAGAGAGAGAGAGAGAGAAAGCUUAGUUUAGAGAGAGAAAAAAAAAGUUAAAUUUUAGAGAGAAAAAUAAGUUUAGAGAGAGAUAUAAGGUUAGAGUGUAAAGAAAAAUAAUAUCAAUUAGCCGGCAGGUAGGAAGAAAGAAAGAGAUUAGAUAUAUUAUGAUUACCCCAAUCCAUUAAUAUGAGGAUACCCACCAUCUCUCAAGGGAAUGGGAUUAAUACUUUGGGGUGAAUCAUAUUCCCAAGUGAAUUUAAUAUUACCAACUAGAUUACUUAGUGCGUUUAGCUAAACACCGUUAUAUUUUUUUAUUCCCAUUGAAUUACUAGGAAUCUUUAAAAGAUAGCGCGAACCAAACGCGCCCUAUAGGUUAUAUUUUAGAAGUUGAUAUUACUUGGGAACUAAUCUAGCAUUUGAUGCAUUAUCUGUCAUUGUCUUAGCUGAAACUAAAAGGAAAGUGACCAGAAGGUGGUAUAAACUAUACAAACCCUCGUAGUGUCAAAAGAUAUUACACUCUGGAGAGUGCUAUUUGACAAGGAUUGCUCCUUGACAAAGCGUGGAAAAUGCACGAAUCUAGAAGGUCUUUUCGUUUUUUUCCUUUUUGUUUAAUGGUUUCUUUUAAUAUUUUUGAGGUGAAUAUAUAUGGAAGGUCUUUUUCACAUCUCUCUUUCUUGUCUUUAAUGGUUUCGUUCGUUUGUACGCUCCAUUCCUAGUCAUGGACACAUGAUUCCUUCUAUCCAGGUUUAAUUUUGUGCAUAUCUUUAGAUUCCUUUCUCUUGUAGUUAUGUACAGCUGUUAAUUUUCAGCGCAACAUGCUGAUCAUGAGCCAGUUUGUGUUCGACUCAAACAGGUUCAAUAAAGUUAUAGAAUUUGACUUGAAAUAAUAUGGAGCCACACGAAACUAGCUCAUUUGAUAAACAAGCCAAAUCUCAGCUUACCCUGUCUUGCUCGCGUUCGGUACAUUUACCCCAUCACAUCUCUCAUAAAUGGAAAGGAUUAGUGAUAUCAUGGUGCAUGAAUUUAGCAAGGAUUUGGUGUUCUCAAGUCAUAAUAAGAUAGAAUCACACGUUAUCGCGUUAUUUAUACAUCAGUAAGUAUUAGUCAAAUUUAAAAUUCCUGAUACAAAGUGCGUGUUCCUACGCAGGUCGAAAUUAUACAUAAAUAUUUAGCAGAGCUUUGCACAAUAAGCUAAAAAUCUGAUGGUUGGUAUUCGAAAUCGCAAGUUCGAAAUCUAAUUGCUUCACAUUUUUAAUUAGCUGCGAGCAAAGUAGAAUUGUUGCCGACAUUUGUAUAGAUUGUAAAUGUUUUUUUUUUUUUCUAUUGCCUAAAUAUGAUAGUUGGAUUAGUUCCAAUGUUCAAUAGUGUGUUAAACACUAUCUUGUAUUAAAUUUCACUUGUGAUAUUCGUAAAUAAUUUUUUACUUUCUCAGCAAAAUUGAAUAUGAAUUAUCACCAAUCACUAUCAUGUUUAUUAUUAUUGUGGAGAAUGAUGUUUUGCUACACUAUGCAUGAAUGUAAACUAGUUUACUGAUUUUUUUUUUUUUUUUUUUUCUAAUGUUAUGAAAUAAAUUGGUAGGUCCCAAUCCAAAAACUCCCUAGUAAUUAACAAAAUAAAAAUACUGAUCCAAACCUGUUUUUGAACCAAGCUCACACCUUAGUUACCACCCAAUUAAGAUUCAGUGUUUUCAUAGAUUAAUUAUGAUAACAGCUAUGUAUUAAUACACUUAUACUAUAUUAUUUAUAAAAUUUAAUACGAUGGAAAACGACUCACAAAUAACCUUAGCAACGCAUCUCCUGUGGGGCAACUCAGAGUGCACGCUAAGAGCCAAGUAAUUAAUAAGCCAAAUAAGCCCGCGUAUUAUAUAGGUGAAAAUAUGGAGAGACACCCUCAACUAUAGGAUAUUUUGAAACAAACCUCUUUUUUUUAUAUAGUAAAAGUGUACAAAUAACUUAUUCGGAAUUAUGAAUUAUUUUGAGUCGGUUAUCUAAACUUUUAAAAUUUAAAUUUUAUCAUCCAGUUUUUUAAUUUGUUUGAUUUAAGUUAAUCAAUAAUGCUUUGACUUUAAAGUUUAAAUAUGUAGUUUAUUUUUCAGAUUAAAUUAGUACAACUCAUGCAAUUCUUACAACUUUAAAUUUAUUAAAGUAACUAAUUAUUUUAAAUUUUAAAUUCAAAGUGUCUUGACUUAUUCAAAUCAAACAAAUUGAAAGAUUAGAUAGUAAAAUUAAAAUUUUAAAAAAUUAGAUAGGCGACUCAAAAUAGUUUAUAGUUCAGAUAAGUUUUAUACAUUUUUACCUUAUUUUCUCACUAAGAGAAAACCUGAAAUUCUAAUUUUAUGUAGAAUUAAGUGAUUUUAGUCCAAAAAAAUAAAGGAAUUCUUUUAAAUUCAUUACUAAGUUUAUCAAGUUUUAAAAAAUUUUAAUGCAAGUGUAAAAAAUUUGAAUAAAAAAGUUUGAAAGCUUUCUCUCAAAAAAAAAAAAAACCUGUUGAGGGGCCAAUUUCAAUAUUCUUAUAGCUAAGGGUGAAUAGUACCAUUUAUUUAUCGAUUUUAUGAGAGGAGGGCCUAAGCAGCUACGUCACCCCUUCUACGCUGCUUCCAAAAAAACCCACGUCAUAAAUAUCACUUCCAAAAUAAAUAUAAAAAAUUUUAAAAUAAUUUUAAUUAUUUUAAUACUAUGAAAUUAUGAUAGCAACAGCCACGGAUAAACAUACAUAUGAUAAUAUGGUUAUAUAUUUUUUCGAUAGUAAUUACUAUUUUAAUUUUAUAAGAUUAAAAAAUUAAAAAAUUUCAAAUUUUUAAUUUUUUAAAACAUAAAAAUAGUACUUUUAGACAAACCAUUACCUAUAUUACAUGUUCAAUAAUAAUUUAUGUACUACAAUUUUUUAAAAAUCUACUUUUCUAGUUUGCUUUAAUAAUUAAUACUCGGAAGGCCGAUAGCCAUGACUUCUUAGAAUUAUGUAUUUCAUUUAUUAAAUAAAUUAUAUUAUUCCAAAGUAAUAAUUUGUAGUCUAAAUAUAAUUUAUCUGUGUUAUAAACGCCAAGCAAUGCUAUUCAUAACACUGUAAAAAAAAAGUAUAUAUCAUAUAUUUUACUCAUCCAAUGAUUGUAAUAUUUUUUCCAGAUAUAUCAUGAUGGAUAAAAAAAACUCCAUUGAUAGUAUCAAGCAGCUUGUGCUAUCGAGUAUUCGACCGUUAAAUGAUAGGAUAUGCUGUUAGGAUGACAGUGGUUCUCUAUAAUUUAGUCAGUGGUUGGUUGGAUUGUAUAAUUUAACGGAUGGAAAUGAUCAGAAGAUAGAUCUAAUAAUAAAAACUUUGAUAGUUUUAAAAAUUUGAUACUAUCGAUAGUAUAGUAGCCGAACAGUAUUUACGUACAUGAGCAUGUACUUUGCUUUAGUGACCACUCUAUGUAUAGAUGUACUGUGUCCAAAAAUUCCAAUUAACAUGUAAACUUUCAAAUUGAUCCAAGGACUAAGUUUCCAAUUUAAUAUUUUAUAUAGGGAACGUGCUUGGGUACAUUAAUGAAUAAUGACCACCCUUUAUGGAACUUUUUAUUUAAAAGAAAAACUGGUUGAUGCUGAAAAAGAAUUGGGCCAAAAAAAUAAUUUUUCGUCAAAAGACGAAAAUAUUAUUAAUUUAUUUUAAAAUUAAUUAUAUUAAGUGAAUAUCACGUGUGUGAAUAUAUAUAUAUAUAUAUAUAUAUAUAUAUAUAUAUAGAGAGAGAGAGAGAGAGAGAGAGAGAGAGCGUCAACAUCUAAAUCUAUAGUUAAAAAUAAUAAAUUCAAAUAUACUUCUAAAACCACACCGACUAGAAUAAUUAGAUAUAUGAGGCUCUUAAAUAGAAAAAGUACAAGACUUUCUAAAAUUAACCUAAAAUAAUAAAAACGGAGGUCUAAACAUAUGAAUUUGAAUUCCAAACUUGGCCUGAAUAAUUUUCCUAGUUUGAUGUGUAGAACUUGAAAAAUAUUUUUCCAAUUAAAAUUUUAUCCGUUUAUAAAUUUCUGCACCAAUUGUAAAAAGUUAAAAAUUGUCGAACUAAGCAAAAUUUUCGCUUUAAUUUAGCUGAGUGGGUCGUCUUAUUUCAAAAAUUUUAACACUAAAUUGGCUGCAUCACGGAACGUCCGAUAAACCUGCUAUCCACUGCAAUUAAUUUUAUAUAUAUAUAUAGACCUAGACUGGAAUACUAUCAAUAGCACUAAGCUAUUGGUGCUACUAGGUUUUCUACCCUUAGAUGAAAAAAAUAUACGGUUAGGAUGAUAUGGGCCCUCUAGGGUUGGGUAAGUUGUUGGUUUAAUAAUAUAAUCUAAUGGGUGAAAAUAGUCAAAUAAUUAAAUCUAAUGACGGAAAACUUUAGCAUCAAACAUUUUGUGCUAUCGAUAGUAUCCCAGCCAAACUAUAUAUAUAUAUAAUAUAUAUAAUAUAUAUAUAUAUAUAUAUAUAUAUAUAUAUACUAGUUGAAUGUACGUGCAAAUGCACGUAACAAUUAUUAUAAUUUAUUUUAAAUCAGUAUACAUUUGUAUAUUAUAUAUAUCCAAAAUUUUACAAUAAAAACUAUAUUUAUAAAUUAAUUUGUUAUAUUUUAUUAGAAAAUAUUUACAAUAUCUUACCGUGUUCGUUUUUUUAUAUAUAAAUACAUAAAACAUUUUUAUAUACUUUUUGAUUUUUGAUAAAUCAAAUUUAAGUAUGUGUUUUAAAUUAAAAGCAUAGAAAUUUAAUUCACAUUUACUUUAAAAUUUAAAAUUUAAUUUUGAUCCACUGUAACAAAAAAAUUAAUUAUUGAUUCAAAUUUGAUAUAAAAAAUUAAUUAAAUUUAAUUUAUAAUUUAAACUCAAAUUUUAAUUUUAAUGUAAAAUAGAUUAAUAGGAAUGCUAUUUUUUUAACAAAUAGAUCAUAACUAUUUAUUUUUAUUGAGAAAUUUUUUACCAAAUUGAUUAUAAACGUAGGAUUGAAUUUAUAGAUGGAUAGGAAUGCUAUUUUUAAAUAAAUUGAUCAUAGCUGUUCUUUUUUGAAAUAUUUUGUUAACAAAUUAAUCAUAACCAUUUAUAUGGAAUAGAUUUCAAUAUUUAGUAGAGAUUUAAUAGAUUGAUCAUAACCGUUCGUUCUUAUUUGAGAUAUUUUUAACAAAAAAAUCAUAAUCAUUCAUAGGGAAUAUUUUUUUAUUCCUUUUUGGAUUCCGUUUGUCAUUGUCGGAAUUUCUAUACGCUUUUAUAUAUAUAUAUAUAUAUAUAUAUAUAUAUAUAUAUAUAUAUAUAUUAGGAAUUCUGCUACCAUACUAUCUAUAAUAUCAAGCAUUUAGUACUAUUGAGUUUUCGACCGUUGGAUAAAUGGAUAUACGGUUAGGAUGAUAGUGGUCCUCUAAGAUUGAGUGGUUGGUUGGUUGAAUAGGAUACUCUAACAGAUGAAAAUGAUUAAAAGGUAGAUCUAAUGACAGAAAAUUCGAUAGUACCAAAAGUUUGAUACUAUUGAUAGUAUGACUUAGAAUAAAUUUUUAAUUAGGCUUCGUUUCGUUCGGGGUUAAGUAAGAACUAGUUAUUUUAGGAAUAUGGUUAAGUUCAGAGUUAAGCCUGAAAUAGAUUAAUUUUGCGUUUGGAUAAAAAUUUAGUUGUUUUUGGGAAUAAGAACAAUAACGUUUGGAUAGAUAAUAUGUAAUAAAAAGAAUAGUGGAUAGUUAUAAAUGAAAAUUAAUGAUUUUUCCCCAAUUUUUAUAUUUGAAUUUAAAUUUUUUAUUUUAUUUUUAAAAUUUUAAAUUUAAAUAGAUAACCUUUAAAAUUAAAAAAUUCAAAAUUAAAAUCUAUAUUUUUAAAUCUCAAAUUUAAAAAAUUAAAGUUAUAACUUUUUAAUCAAAUCUAACAAAUAUAAAAUUUAAAUAAUUAAAAAUAACAAUUUAAAUUUAAAAAUUCAAAAUUAAAAAUUGAAAAUUGAAAAUUUAAAAAUAUAAAUAUAUAUUUUAAGAUUAUAAAUCAUAAAAUUUUAAAAUUUCAAAUAUAAAAUUUAAAAAAUUUAAAAUAAUAAUUUAAAAUUUAAAAUUGGAUAAUUAAAAAUUUAAAAUUUUUAAAUUUAAAAUUAAAAUUUAAAAUUUAAAAAUAUAAAUAUUAAUUUAAUAUUACAAAUUAAAUAUUUUAAAAAUUUCAAAUAUAAAAUGUCAAAUUUAAAAUUUAAACAAUUAAACAUAAAAUUGAAAAUUGAAAAUAUUAAUAUUAAAUUUAAGAUUAUAAAUUAUAAAUUUUUAAAAUUUAUAAAUUAAAAUUAAAAUUUAAAUUUAUAUUUAAAAAUUAAAUUGGUGUGAGAUUAACUUAAUCCCACCCUGUGUGAGUGUUAACCCGGGUUAAUGGGGGGAUAACCCCUUAUCCUCCUUUAACCCCCAACCAAACGCAAUCUAAUAGAAGAUUAAAAAUGGUGACAAAUUAAUAUCCGUUGCUUCUUUCACCCUUCCUCCGAAAUCACGUGGUCUCAUAUUUCCACCUCCUUUUGCUUCCACGAAACUGCACCCAAAAAAGGCGCGGCCGCAUUUGCGCCACACAAAUAAUUGAAUCCCCGCACACCCCACACACAUGUGUAUAUAAACCCACUCCAUUCCACAACAACUAAUUAAACCUGUCCACAAUUUGUCUCUCCCACCACUACUGUUUCUCCUCAACUCAACACAACAGGGGGAAUGGAUAACCACCUAAGCGUACACCAAAAGCACCCCAGCAACCAUGCCAAUAAGGCGAACAAGAAGAGCAAGAAAAAGAAGCAGCCCUUCAAGGUUGUGUACAUAUCUAAUCCGCUGAAGGUUACCCUGACUGCCGACAACUUCCGCGCCCGCGUGCAGGAGCUCACGGGCCGAGAGUCCAACGUCGCCGACGAGGGCGUCGCAGGAUUCAGCGACACGAGCCACGAUACUACUUCCCCGGUGUCGGCGGCGGCGGCGGCGGUGGUCGGGCCGAGGCCCGAUUCGAAUAGGCUAGCGGAUGAGUACUCUUUCGGCGCCGUGGCGCCGCUGUAUGAUCAGAUGUUUGGUGAAGCGUUCUCCGCGCCCCAAGCGCCCGGUAACUUUCCGGGACUCUUUUAUGAGCCGCGUACCGAGGGUGGAUUCUCCCAUGCAGCAUAGGUAAAUUACGUUAGUGAAUGAAUAGUAGGCUUCUGGGGUUGUGCUCCUCAUAGUGUGUAAGUAUUGUUGCCUAAUAUUGUUCAUAUUUUUCUAAAAUGAAAAGGUAGCAUGUAUACAUAUGUAUGACUUGUUUUGUUUAUUACUUCAGAAAAAAAAAAUUAGUUAGAAAUAUGUGUUGGUUUAAAAAAACCAGUAUUUUGCCCCUAUGGCAGGAGAUUUCAUGUUUGAAAUGACGGAAGAUCGGAUUGGAUUAAGUCAUGCAUAUUCAAAAUGGUGAAAGAUUGAUUGGACCGAGUCACAAUCGAAUUCCGUUGGCGUUAUGUUUCCAUGCUAAGUGAAUUAAUUAUAUAUUUCUAACAGUUUGAGCUUUUGGAAGCUAUUAGGUUUCGAAUUUGAAAUCUCGGAUACCAGCCAUCAGAUCUUUUGCGACCUGCUACGGUUAGGGUUUGUGAGAUCUUAAGUUUUGGUUGCUGCAGCAGCAAGCUUUUUAUUUCGUCGUAGCUUCGACCGUAGAAGUAGAUAGGAAUAAAAUUUUGCAUCUCAAAAAGAGAAACUUUAAAGCAGUGAUAUUGCUGCAGAGUAAAUUUUAAAUUUGGUGCUUUUGAUUGUUUGGACUUGUUACUAAUUAUUCAAAUAAAGCCUCAACUUGUCGAACUGUGUACACGCACUUGCAAAGAGGAGAACGAAGAACGUUAAACUGUAAUGUUUAUUAUCAGAUCAGUGGCGUUAACUAUUAAUUUGAAAAUUUUGAGUUAUUAAAAACAUAUAACUAAUUUAUUUAAAAUGUAUAGAUAUGGCGUAUAUGGAUCUCGAUUGUGACUUUAUCCAAUCCAGCCUCCCAUUACUUCGAAUAUGAUUCGAUCAAAUUUGAUCUCAUGUCAUUUCAAACGCAACUCAAUCCAACGUAGACUCCCACUACAAGAUAGAAUACUGUCUCUCUUAAGCCAACAAUUUUAAUCAAUAUUUGAUCAUAUUAACUUUAUAAUUAGUGCAAAAUGAAAGAAAACUGCUACUUAAUUUUUACUUUUAGUGAUGAGUAGAUAUAUAUAUAUAUAUAUUUUUCAGUUUUUAGGACAUUACAGUUAUUAUUAUUAUUAUACCCACAAUCAAACCAUUUUUUUUCGUGAAUUGUAUUAACUAUCCAAUUGAAACCCUCUAGAUCAGCAUAUAUAUUUUAGUAAAAUAUUAAAUAUUCUGUGCAUAAAGUGGAUGUAACAUUAAUUACUUAACAUAUAAUAAUUUCAUGAAGGCUUUGAUCUAAGACUACGUAUUUGAGCUCAAACAAUCCAUUUAUCCUUAGGCUCACCACAAUAAAGGCCCACAUAAGCUAUGUGUGUUUAAUCACAUAAUUAUCAGUAAAUUAUGGCCCAUUGGUAAUGAAGAAGUUCACACGUAACUAUCCAUUAUGGAAUGAUUUGCUUACCCACUCUAUUUAUAUAACAUUUACAAAAAAAAAUAUAUGAUUUGUGCUGCUGAAGAAUAAAGAGACAAUUGUUAAUUAUAUUACAGUAUGAGGCCUAAAAAAGGACAAAAAAAAAGGUAUAUAUAUAUAUAUAGAGAGAGAGAGAGAGAGAGAGAGAGAGAGAGAGAGAAUGGAGAUGUGAAAGCAACUUCUAAUUCAUUAUAUGCUAUUUAUUCUCAUAAUCUGAAUGCUUUGCACCAUAAUAAAAAAGUUAUAUUUCAUAGUAUUGUUUUACGUGAUAUGCAUGAUUCGAUCAGUUCGAAUUUUAAUUUGUUAUUAUACACGUAAACUGCUUACAAAAUAGCACCUUAAUUACAAUCAAAUAAUCAAAUAAUACAAAUUAAUUGACAAUAGAGCCUCAGAUAAUUUAGAUCGAACAACAUGUUGUUGCUCGGACAUCCUCAUUAAAAAUAAUAAAAUAAAAAAAUCCCUAAUUUCAAACUCCAAUUUGUUAUGGCCCAUUAGGAAUUUUUAAUGGUUGGUAACAUCGUUAUUAAUUGCAGCAUUUAUUGACUUCCAUUACUACGUACAUAUAAAUAAAUCAAUAUGAUAAUAAUAUUGAUAAGGUGAGAAGAGGUUGGAAGUAAUUACUAAUUACUUAAUAAUUAGCAAUGUUUAUAUUAUUUUUUACUGACAAAAAUGGCAAUGUGGGUUACAUUUAACAGCGGAACCAAUAACCCAACAACCCGAUUAAAACUAAUGUGUUAUAUUGGGUCCUAAUUUUUGUGUUUGUAAAUUCAUUCGAUUGUUAAAUUUGUAUCAGGUUCUGAUCUCAUCAAUAUUCGAACCUUCAAUUUCGUGCGUUAGUAGUAGACGUCGAUUUAUGAAUAACUUUGAUACCAGAUUAUCGAAAAGAUAAAUUUAAUAAAAAAAAAAAAAUCAGUGUUAGGAUUUUGAAAAACCCAGCUUUAAUUCGGGUUGGAACCACAUUGGAUCCGAACCCGAUUCGCUUUAAAUCGUGACCGGGUCCCCAACGCCAAACCCAUCACCGUCGACGCCACGUCAUCACGAAGAUUCUCCAGCGUUGAAUGCGUAACGCCAAAAAUAUCCAAGCCGACGUGGCGUAGAGUGGGACCCCUACCCCACCUAUGCGGGCCCCACAAGUCAGUGAUAUACGCAACUAUUUUUUGUUAUUACCACCAGUGGCACUGGCCGUAAAUAACACCAACCACGGCCCCUAUUUACCAACUCCCUUCAACCUCCUCCCCCCUCCUCCUCUUCUUCUCCUUCCUCCUCUUCGUCUCCUUCCUCUCUACUACACAUCUCCACGUAGUAGUCAUCGUCGUCCUCGUUUUCCCCUCUUCUUCUUCUUCUUCGAGGGAUCUACCCCACGGAGAGGGGAACGAGGGGGGGGGGGGGGGGGGGGGGGGGGUGGUGAGGCGACAUGGGAAACGUGACCGGGAGGGAGGAGGAGAACGGUGGAGGCGAUGACGAGGACCCCUCGGCGAGAUCGUCGGAGGGGGGAUUCGCGCCCUACCACGCGGGCUCGGCGGAUUCCAUAGGCGGCGGAGGCGGCGGAGAGUCGCCGCCGCAGAGUCCCCGGCGAUCCCCAUCCCCCUUCAUGUUCGCUCCCCAGGUGAUUUUGAUAAUGAUGAUGAUGAUGAUUAUGAUGAUGCUUUAAUUGUUGAUUUAUUUUCGAAUUUGUUUAAGUUUGAUUGUUUGGAUGUGUUACAUUGGAGUUUAUCUCUCGUUGUUUAGUACUAUUGAUUUUGGAAUUUAGUGGUUGAGUAUGGGGCUAAAACUUCUACGUGGAUUUGGUACGGUGGAGAGAAAUAAGAGGUUUCAAUUUUAUUGGUAUAUGGAUAUGAGUUUUGACGCAUUAUUUUAGUCGUGCUUUUGCAAUUGGAUUUAUGGAUUAUGUGAGGAAAAGGUGAAAGGAGAGAUGCGAAAACAGGGUAGCGGGGGAUUGUUAUUUGUUCCGUAAUUCAAGGUUUUGGUUAAAAAGGGUCUCAAAAAUGUUCUUAUAAACGAGUAGCUUCAAAAUAUUACAACAAUGUGAAAAAAUCAUAGGAUGCACUUGUGAGAAACUAACUAAAUAUUAAAAUAUUAGUCCUGUACAAGUUUAGAAUUUACAGAGACUUUUUAGGCUGUGAAGAUUCUGAAGUUGAUGAGAAAAUUUUGCAACCUUUGGUGAUUUCUGGUAUUCAUUUUUAAGAUGUUUCCUCCGAGAAAUUAAAUGCCCUAGGCCCUAUUAAUUGUAAAUAUUACCUACUGAUUGGCUUCUGGAGGAACACUACAUUACUUGGCCGCAUCGGUUUAUUCAUGAAGUUUGAAUUGAGAACAAAUUCUUUGAGCUAAACACCGACAACUCACCAAGAUAAAAUUGCCAAGAAACAAUAAUUUUGACAGCAAAAUGAAUAAAAGUAUCAUUAGCCAAUUUACUGAGAUCAGUCCAAAACAUAGUAAUGAGCCCAAAUUAGAAGGGUUUCAAUUUGGUCUUACCCAAAAGUCAAAUCCUUGCUAUUAUUAGUUAGUACAUUAAUUCGUAUACCAACCACUGCAUCAAGCUAAUCCAACCUAUACAUCUUCAUCCGCACCAGCAAACGCCCAAGCUAUUAGUGCAUGACUUUGCUUGUAACUGGACUCUUGCUUCUGCAUUCUCUGAAAACAUUUUGCAACUUCAUAAAUUUUGCUUGUAAGUUGUACCUAGGAAAUUUUGAACGCAUGUGGUUUUCAAACAUGUCAUCCUUUAUUUUCUAAAAUGUUUAUACUCAUGCGAAUCUGCAUGUUGAAAUUUUCAUUGGGCUGCUGCCUCGGACAGUAAGCGAAGAUUCACUAUUUUCUCAAAUUAUUCGUUCUUAUGUUUCAGUACCUUUUUUUGGUAAUGAUAUUUGCUAGGCAUUUAUGAGGGCAGAAUUGUGAUCGGGUGUUUCUCAGCGAAGUUAAAUUAACGCCUAACAGCAGUGGUUAGUGGUGAUCGAAUCAUUCUCUUCUAAGUAAUACUUGACGAAGUACUGCAUGUGGAAAAUUAGUUUUGAUAUGUGAUGACUUAAGAGUGCCUCUUAGAUAAGUAACAUGGAACCCCCUGGAUCUUUAUAGAAUCACUGUGGAAAGUGAUUACUGUGGUGAAAUAAGACAUCAAUCAUUGAUUCUGGGCCAAAUUGUCAUCUCGUAAACGAAGUCCAUAUUAAUUGCCCUUUGAUAUGUGCAGUAAUGUAAUUUGAUGCUUCAACUGAAUUUGACAUGUAAUUUGAUUCUUCAGGUCCCUGUACCUCCUUUGCAAAGACACAGUGAUUCACCUCAACUUUCCAAUCAAGUGUCGACGAACGAACAACAUGGAAGUUCCAAAGAUCCUCCUGAGAGGAAAAUCCCAGUCUUGCUAGUAUGGACCCUAGGAGGAAAGAAAGUUCAUGUAGAAGGAUCAUGGGACAACUGGACAGAAAAGUAUGCUAACUGAAAAGCAUUUUAGGGGCUCUGUUUGCUCGUGCAUUAUUUCUUCACUUCUUUUAUAGAUCUGAGACUUUAAAAUUAUGCAAACUAUGAAUGAUGAUAAUUUGUGAGUGCCGCAUCUUUUCCAGGUUAUCCCUACAGAGAUCGGGCAAGGAUCAUUCCAUUUUAAUGUCUCUACCAUCUGGAAUCUACCGUUACAGAUUCAUUGUUGAUGGUGAACGGAGAUUCAUUCCUGAUUUUCCUUGCAUAACGGAUGAGACGGGGAAUACUGUUAAUUUUCUUGACGUCGAUGUGAGUGCUUACUCUCUUAAAAUCUAAUAUCGUGGGGCUAGUUACCAAUUCAGUCUUUUUGAUCCUGAUUUCAUCUAUGUUCUCAGGAUUUUGAUUCCGACAUUUUAGUCCUUGAAGUUUGUUCCACGUAAUAGUCUAUUGGAAAUGCCAAAACGUAGCAUCAUUGGGUAAAACUGAACCUAAAAGGCGUGGAAUCUUUUAAAAUGUAGACAAAACGUAAGGACCUAACUGUUAUGCAUGACAAACUUUAGAGUAUAUUAUUAAAAUUGAAACUCUGAUGACAUAAUUAAGAUUAGUGUCAAACUUCAAUAACUAAAUUUGUACUUAACCUGAUAAAGUAAUACCAUUUUGCUAGCAUUUUUUGGCUUUCAAAGUUGUAGAUGUUUGUCCCGAAAUUUGCCAACCAGCUUAGUUAGUCCCCUACAAAUUUCUUGAAGGCAAUGAAAACUAAGAGAUGCACACUCUUUUUCUCUUUUUUCCUUUUUUGUUUUUCCACAUUGUUCGAUCUAGGAUUAUGUUCCGGAUAAUGUAGCAGGCGUCUCCGAAUUCGACCACCCACCUUCUCCUGAUUCCAGCUACAGUUGGCAGGAGCCCUCCGAUCAGGACUUUGCGAAGGAGCCGCCCGCUCUCCCACCGCAGCUACACUUCACUGUUCUUGACCUGGAAAACUCCGAGGCAGCAGCCACCGUGAAGCCCCACCACGUUCUCCUGAACCACCUCUUCAUAGAGAAGCCAGGGGGUCCCCAGCCACUCGUCGGUCUCGGCUUCACUCACAGGUUUCAAUCCAAAUACGUCACAGUCGUCUUGUACAAGCCCAUGGAAUGAUAACAUCGCCCGUCCUCAUUCAAUUUCGCAUAUAUAGAUAUGUUCAAAACAGCGGCUUCUCUUAGUUUUACGAAUUUCUAGGAAACACAUCAAUUCAAAUUCUUUUUGCUUUGUACAUGGAUGUGAGAACUUCUGGGUAAUGUUUUACGAGCUGCCCGUCACAUUGGUUGUAUCUGCCAUUCUUUCUUAGGAGCAAAAUGUAAAAAAUUGCCAAAACAGUGAAGGGAUGCCAAAACUAUCAGAAAUUAGUUCGCUUCCUUCUCUCUCUCUCUCUCUCUCUCUCUCUCUCUCUCUCUCUGAGAAACCUGUAGACGUUGCAAUUUAGAUUUAAUACAUUUGGUUUCUGUUGAUUACUGUUUAAUGAGGUAGCAUUAAUAUCAUUCAAAAGUUUUAGUUGGUGUGUAUUUGUCAUGUUACUUUCUACUUGAUUUGUGCAUAAGGUUUCAGGUACGGUAAGUGUGCAAUAUUUAUGCGAUCAAAAUUGUAUUGUAUUUGAGAGGAAAAAGCCUAACUGUUCUUGCGACGUGGAGUUUAUCCGUUUGUGGGGUUAUAUUCUCAGAUUUUUUAGGAACUAGUUAGGAAUGAAUGUGUGCCCCAGGAAAAUGCUAUACUUUGCUUAUUAAAUACUGAAGAAUAGAAUGCUCCCUCCAAAAAAAGAAGAAGAAGAAGAAGAAGAAGAAGAAGGAACAAGAGAAAAGGACCGGAGAUCAGGAAUCAAUUAGGAGAAAGGGAAUUCUCUGUGCGGUUCCUUUCAACAGAACAUUACAAUUGCAUCUAAGGAGCCGUUUAGUUGCAUAUAGUUGCAAUUGUACUGUAGUUGUAACUGCAUGUAAAUACAAAUUCGGUGUUUGGUUUGAUGUAUUUAACUCCAAUUGCUGCAAUAGGAACUGCAAAAGGAGGCCCAAUUACAGCAGUUCGAACUACGCCGAAAUUGGUCGUAGUUCCAACUGCAGCAGUUGGAAAGAGUAACUUUAAAUAAAAGAUAUGCUUAUCUCCUCAAUUUUUUUUAAACAAAAAUUAUUAUUACUUUUUUUAACUUUGAAGGUAAUUUUACCAUCAUGUAUAUAAAAUGAUAAAAUUUAAAAAUUAUUUCUCAACUACAUGCAACUAAACAAAUUAUUUAUACUUACAGCGCUUUCUACUACAUCCAACCAAAUAGGAUUCAUAUAGUUAUAACGGAUGUAUUUUCAACUGCAUGCAUUUCUAAUUGCGCUUUCUGUUACUAACUCGUCACUGCCAACAUAUUCCUGCUCGAGAACUACUUGCGUGUUGUAACUUGUCACUGCCAAUUGCAUAUUAACUACGUGACUAUGCUUAGUUAGAAGCUGCGUUAGCCAAACAUAUUUUACUUUGAUUGUGCCAAGGGCCCAAGCAUAUUUUUCUCUCCGAUGCUAUAAGAAAGUGCACAGAAACUGCUAUCAAAAAAGUUUCUCAACAAUUUGGAUCCUAAUUAAAAUUUGAUAUGAACUUGGUAAUGUAUUUUAAGACGAGAAGGUUUUCAAAUUUCGGUUUUGGAACCUCUAAAGCCAUAACCGAUGUCUAACUCCCUAGCACUAAAUUUCAGUUUAUAUUUUGGGGUUCAAUUCACUUCGAUCAAUCAAACCAGAGUAGAGGCGUGGUCAUAUCUGCAUUUCCGUGAGCCAAUUUUUUCUUUUCGUGUUAGCAAAGAGACAUGCAGUCGAUAAGAAAUAAAAAAAGAAAAGGAAAAAGAAGAAGACAGAAGUUAGACUCCAAUCCAGUGAUUAAGGGCAUGUUUGUUUGAAUGGAAGUGUGGUGAAAAUGGAGAGGGGGAAGUUGUUUUCGUUAUAAACGAUCACUUCUGUUGUUUUUGAUUCGCCGUAAAAAAGUUAUAGUAGAAACUAGAGUUAACAUGAAACUACGUCGUGAGCCAAAGUCAAGUACGAGGAAUGGAGGUGAAGAAAAAAAAUAAUAGAAUAAUAUACUGGAUAAAAAUAGUUAUAUUUAAAUAUAUUUAAUUAUGGUACUAAUUAUUUUUUUUAUUCAGUUGGCAUAUUUAAAAUAUGAUACAAAUUGAUAAAUUAAGUUUUAAUAUUUUUUUAUUUAGUUUGUACAAUUAAAAUAUGAUAGAAAUUGAUUAAUUAAGUAUUUAUAUUUUUUUUACUUUAUAAUUUUAUUGUUGCAUUACUAUAAUUUAUGUAUAAAAAAUAAUUUAAUUAUUUUAAAUUAAAUUAUAAUUAUAUAAAAAUAUAAUUAUAUUGUUUUUAUUUAUUAAAUUAUUUAUUAUUUAUACAUAAAUUAUAAAUUAUAGUUUUAUAUCAUACAUUUCGUACCAAACAAACAACAGAAUUAAUAAAACUUCACUUUCACAACUACGAAACAAACAGUACGAAAGUAGUAAUUUUCACCUAACUUUACUUUAACCUAAAGUCCAGCGUCGGUGAAACCAACAUGCACUAAAUCGAACCAAAGUUACAUAGAUUUGGUUACGCUGAGCUUGGUCCACAUUGAAAAGUUUCCGAACCAAAUUGGCGCAAGUGAUCACAAGAUCUUAUUGCUAGGACGUGAUCGGUGGAUAACGUACCCGAAUCAGCUAUGUGGUGGACGAUAAAAGAUCAUAAUUAUGUCCUUUGCAUGCCUAGUUUCAUCAUAAAUUUUACUUUGAAAUUAAUUUUGAGACGAUCUUGCGCGGUGACCAGGUCGAGCUCCACUCAUUUAUGGCCAUAAUUUUAAGGAUAUGUGUUGUAUUUUAGGAUGUGCUAAGUAUUUUCCUAGCGCCCUUAGUUUCUUAGGAGAAUUUAAUGUCUCCAUUUGCUGCAUCCCUAAGGUGUUAUUUGCUCUUCAUAUUUUUUAAAUUUUUAACUGGAACGUCGGAAUUUUAUGUAAAAUAAAAAGUUGUAUAUUGUUGCCAUUAAAAUAUAUAUAUAUAUAUAUAUAUAUAUAUAUAAAAUUUGAUAAAUGUUAAGACUAGUGAUGAGUAGUUUUUUGUUAAAUCGAUUUUGGGGUAACAUGAUAUUGGAUCGAGUCUUAAACUUUCUUAACAUAUCCUGAGAUUGAUGAUAUGAUUCACUAGACAUCUACAUGACAAUAGGAAAAAAAUUAAAAAAAAAAGGAAAAAAAAAGGGCAUUCAUUGCCCAGUGCACUUGGUGCAGGGAGCAGGUUCUUUUGUUUGAGAGUGUCCGUCUCUUUUUCCGGUCAAUUUCAUCUUCUAUUUUCCAGCUCACAGAGUUUACACGUGGGUGGGUUCGCAUCUUAAAGCAUAAAAGUCAUUCAUGUACGUCCCUCUCCCAACCCAACCCCACCCUCUUCUUCCGAUUUGUACACUCACACUCUCUCUCUCUCUCUCUCUCUCUCUCUCUCUCUCUCUCUCUCUCCAGUGGGAGAGAUUUUACUAUAUUUAUCAAUCACACCGUAUAAUUUAUUAAUAAUAAAUUAUAUUAUUUAAAUUAAAAAAUAUAAUAAAAAUAUUUUUAAUAAUUAUAUAAUUUAUUAAUAAUAAAUUAUAUUUUAUAAAUUAAAAAUAUAAUAAAAAUAUUUUUAAUAAUUAUGAUGAAAUAUAAAAUUUAAGAAAAAUAAUAUGAUUAUUUGAUGUCGCUAUAUUAAUAAUAUAAUUGAUGUAUUCUAAAUUUUUUUUUUUCUUUAGUGAGCGCUUGAAUUAAUAACAUGAUACCCCCUAGUCCACUCUCUCUCUCUCUCUCUCUUAGGCACAAACCGGCCCUCUCCCUCUCAAACUAUUAUGUGGCUCUCUUUAAUAUGAUUAAUAUAACAUUUAAAGUAUGAUACCAACUGUUCUUAGUGUAGACGGUAAAAUACUCGAUAAUUGAUAUUUAAAAUUUGAAAUUCAAACCUUAACUAUUUUAUAUUUUUAAUUAAAUUAAAAAAAACUAAUAGCAUUUUAUCUUUUUAUAAAAAAUAAAUAAAGUCUGAUUCUAAGCCUUCAAUCAUUCACAUCCAUUUCAUUAGGAUGAAAAGGAAAAAAAUUAAAAACAAAACAAAAAAUAAAAUUUUUCUCAUUAUACUUAAUUAGACGAAGAAAAGAGAAGAAAAAAAAACGUCUUUAUUUUUGGAGAAAAAAGAAGUUGAUUGUUAUAAAUCUUUUAUUUAUUUUAUUUAAAAAGUAAGUUAGCUGAAAAAUAUGUAUCAACUAAUAUUUGAAUUUGGAACCUCCAAUAUUAAUUAUCAUAUUCUUUUACAUUUAUUUUAGGACGAUUGGUGCUGAUAAUAAUAUUAUUGAUGUCCUAUUCGUAUUUAAUGGGAUUUGGUGGGUCAUUAACGUCUCUCUCCACAGUCCACAUCAGUAGUACCCUCUCUCUCUCUCUCUCUCUCUCUCUCUCUCUCUCUCUCACUUUUUGUGUACCAGCUUUUGCAGUACACUGCUCCCUCUUCCCCUACUCUCGCAUUCAGGGGCUCAGAGCACGAUAAAAGUUAAAGAACACUCAUCCUGUUUCUCGGCUUUCUCCCCUCCCUAUCCUACAAAAUGAUUCCCCUCGCAAAGAUUAGGAUAUCAAAUUAUUGCCUGCACCUGGUGUAUCCAUAUGCUUCCCGCACAUGCAACACCUUAUUUCCCAACGAAGCCGAAUAACCUCUUAUUACUGGAUCCACAUAUUGUAAUUUUAUUAUAGUUACAACGAAGCCCAAUAGCCUCUUAUUACAGUAACUUUUUUCAAGAUGUGAAAUAUGAGAAGCAGUUGUACAUCCCGCGCAUGAAUGUGCGCGCCAAACACUUCCAAAUUAAAACACUCCUAAAAAAAGAAAAGAAGCCCAAACUUAUAACAUAGUUUCAGCAACUCGCACAUUAAUAAUCUUUAAAAUUAGACUAACUAUUUCCAGCGCAAAUGACAAAAAAUUUAACGGUUAACAUUUAGAGAUCUAAUUAUACUUUAUAUUUUUAGUUAAUUUUAUUUUUUUAAAAAUAAACUAAACAUGAAACAUGCUAUGUACUUUUUUUUUUUUUAAAUCUCUAAAAUUAGAUUCUUCGUUUUCCUCCGAUACAAUCACAAAACGAUACAAGUAGGCAGCAAGCGAUUAAUCACCCACCGUCCAUCGACAUCUAUAUCCGUUAGACCAAACCUAAGACCUAAUCACCCAACGUAAAUAAUCGUGCAACGUAACAUAAAGUUGGGCGAGAGGACGCCACGUGGCGCUGUGUCGUAAAGCCAAAGCUUAGGAUUCGAGUCCGGAAUCCGGAUCGCCUCGACCCCCACCAUCAGUGUCCCGAAACCGCACUUUUCCCUUUUACCUUUAUUGUCUGUUUAAUCAUCAUAUACGACAAAUCAAAAAUCCGACCCGUUAAGAGAAAGUGAUUUGACAAAAUUAACCCCCACCAAACUACGGGAACAAAGCCGUCCAGGCCCAUUUUCUGCGCGCUUCUUCUCUUCGAAGCACGUGGCGUUGUCUGGGUAACUAAGGAGGUUAAAAUGUAGAGAAGCCCCUCAACUAUAGGCAAGUUUGAAAUUCAGCCUUCAACUGUUUUUCUCACUUAUCACACUUUCUUAACUUUAAUUAAUUUAAUUUAAAUUAAUUCUAAAUUAAAUCAGAAUUUUGUUGAAUUAACGGGUAUGCUAGUUAUUAUUAUAGAUUAUAACUAAUAAAACUCAUGGUCUUUUAAGCUAAAAUAAUAAUGAAAAAUAAUUAAACUUGGCAAAAUUAUCAUUAGAUUCAAUAAAAUAUUUACUUUAAUUGGUAGAAAUGGCUUUAGUAAUCAGAUACUAAAUUCAAAUUAAGGAGAGGGUAUACUAUAUUUAUAAGUUAUUGAUUUAUUGUAACCUAUGACCUAACAAUAUAUAAUAACAUAUUAGUGAGAUCUACAUAUAAAAGAAAAUAACUAAAGGUUGUAUUUCCACGCUAUAUAGUUGAGGGGGGCCUGCGCAUAUAUACGUAUACCUCCAAGUCCUAGAAUCUCUCCUGUGUCCGUUAGCGGGCGCAUGGCAUUUCCGUGAUUUCGCCCACAUACACGGUUUAAGUUUUAAUCGUGGGGGUUUUAGUGAGAGAGGAGCAGUGCACGCUCUUCUCUUCUCCCACUCUCUCUCUUCUCACUCCUCACCUCCUCCUUUAUUGCCUUUAUCUCUCUCUCUCUGUUCAACAAAAGAGAGGUAGAGAGAGAAGAGGAUGAGGUAAGGGGAAACGAGAUGCGAAACGAGAUGGGAAACGCGAAGAAGACGAUGCUAACGUCUUCGUCCCGGCGCGAGGCCGGGUCCGGUCACGGCCCCUCCACCAGCAAGCGGAGCAUCGGAUGCAUCUCCGGUAUCUUCCACUUCUUCUCCCGCCACCAUUCCCACCCCCGCAAACGCCUCACCCCUGGUAACUCCCACCCCCUCCCCCCCAAACCCCUCUCUAGAUCUCUCUCUCUCUACUCUCAACGUUAAAACGCCGUUAUCUCUACAGCUUCGAAGAAGGAGAACGCCGUUAUCUCGCCGCUAAAACGGAACGAAGCAGAACACGAGGACGGUAAAAAGAGGGAUGCGUACCUCGCCGUGACGGCGCCGUCGAGCGCGGCGGAGAUCCGGCGCCGCCGCUCGUGCGAUGCGCCGCGGAGCCCCACGAUCCCCGCCGAGAUCCGGCGAUCGUGCUCCGCGGCCGCGUCCCCCCGCGGCGCCGCCCCCGCCCUGGUGGCUCGGCUCAUGGGCCUCGAUGCGCCGCCGCCGACGUCGCCGCAGCCGCCGCGGAAGCUGCUGGGGGCGCUGGAGCGGUGCGACGAGGACCUCAAGGCGCUGCGGCGGAUCAUCGAGGCCGUACGAUCGGCGGAGAUGCGGGUGAAGGCGCUGGGAGCGGCGGGAUCGGACGGUGGGGAUUCGAGGAUGGAGAGGGGGAUCAGGUGGUGGGAGGGGAAGGGGGAGCUCCCGAGCCCUAAUUCGGUGCUCGACGCGAUCUCGUCGCCUCGGUUUCGAUCCAAAAGGCUGGACCAAUACGACGGUGGGUCUACUUAUACUCGCAAAUUAAUUAUUUUUUUUUAAAAAAUUAUUAUUAUGAACUUAAACGGCGCGAAUCUUGAUGCAGAGAAAAGCGCUGGAGCUGCGACUACGACCGUCGGAUCGAGGAUCGUGAAGCCCUCGCGCAUGGGCGUCGCCUUCUCAGGUAAACGGUCAACAACAAAUAAAAUGAUGUCUCAAACAUUUCCAGAAAAAGAAAAAGAAAAUUCCGAGCGUUCCAAUGAAAUAUCGCCACGUAAUUAACGUUCUCUUGUUCUUUUAAAAUUUUGUUUUACGUGUUCGGUAUUGUCAAUUGCGCCUUGUCUUCCAAGUUUUGUGUGAACUCGGUGCGUAAUAUCGAACGAUCAAUAUUUAAAGUUGAAAUUUAAUUUAAUAAGAUGUAAUUUAUAAUACUUAACAUAUUUUAUAUAGAAAAGUUAAUGUUUUUGAAAGUUUAUAAAAUUUAUAUAUAUAACUAACGAAAUUAUAAUUUCAAAGUUUAUAUUGUAAAAAUUUAGAAGCAUCCGUACUGGGUGCACCGGGUGCAUGCAAUAAAUUUUGUCUCCUCCUCUGGUCCGAGGCCUAAACGCUUGCAUGAAUGUCACGCUAGGGAACCACAACAUGGAGCCGCGCGGCAUCAUCCACCGUCCGACGACGAUCGAGGGGCUCCCAAGCAUGUACAAAGGAGCCAAAGCUUUCGACGAUUUCGGAGCGGAACGGAUCUCCGCGGGGACGGACGUCGGCGGGCGGCGCCUGCAGUGGCGGCGGCGGAGGAGGAGCCUCGCGAUGGCGCAGAGCGUCGACGAAGUGUGGGAGGAGGGGGUGUGGGAGGAGAAGUGGGAGCUGGGGAGAAUGGUGGUGGGAUUGGAGUGGGAUAUAUUGGAGUGUUUGGUGGAGGACGUGGUGUUGGAGCUCUUGUUAUCUCAUGAUCAGUGUGUUUGGAACUUCUCACUAAUGCCACUGAGGAGGUGCAGGAAGAGGUUGUGUUUCUAAUGAAUAAUUUGUCUUAACUAAUGAUUCUGCUUUAAAUAUGAGUAUACAGUAGAUGAUAAGUUUAAUUACUCUGCUAAUAAUACCACUAGUCUCUGGAAAAGCUGUAGUUGUGAGGUUUUUGCUGGCAAAAGUAUUCGGACUUGAGUAAUAAAAUUUGGUUUUUUCUUUUCAAAAGUUCAUAGUAGAAUAUAGCAAGACACUUGUGUUCUUUUCGUAUAAUCUCUACAUAUAUACAGUUGAGUAACUUAUUGAGAUACAACGCCACUUACACUAUCUCCUGCUGCAAGUAGCUAUGAAUAUUCGGAGAGAUCAAUCCUCCUGCCUAAUGGAGAGAUAGUUGGAGAGGUGACAAAACCCUAUACUUUUCAUUAUAAAACCAAUAAACCAGAAAAAGAUGGAUUGUUUUGCGAAAGAAUCUCUGAACCCAUAAAAACUGAAAUUUGUGCUUGUAGAAAUUAUGGAGUGAUCAGGGCUGAAAAAGAAAACCCGAAAUUUUGCGAACAAUGCUGGGUAGAAUUUGUUCUCUCGGAUAUGAAGAUGUCAAAUGAAAUACAUCAAACUCGCAUGUCCAGUGACUCAUGUGUGGUGGUAUUUGAUGUUGGAGGUUAGGGUUUUUGGGUGCUUAAAGUAUUACAUCAAGAGACGUCAAGUUUGGAACGCUCAACAGUGUUACCUCCAGCGUAGGAAACCCUAGAUUUAAUAAAUAAGCUAUUGGGCUCCAGAGAUAUGGGCCUUAAUACGCUUUCACUUAUUGGGCUUGUAUGUGAACAUAUUAUUUGGAUUAUAUUAUAACAAAAUAUCCAAUAACAAUAUAUCCAACAAUCUCCUCCUAUGUUCACCAUACAGCACAAUCCAAUACAGUGGUCAGUGUAAUGUUCAAACAAUUAUGAAUCAUCCACAUUCAGUCCAAGACAAUCAACUCGGAUUAAAAACUCAAUCAUCAAUUGUAAUUCAAAUGAGUGAAUCAUUCUUAUCAUGAAUCUGUUCUGAGAUCGACAUAUCCAAAAUGAUUCUCAAAAUCAGUUCACAACCAACAUAUGCAUAACAGUCAAAUAUAAGUAGGCCAGUCAAAAUAAUCCAAGGCCUUACAAAUAAAAGAAAAAGAUAUAAUAAUGUUCACAAAUAGAGAUAGUCAAACACAAGUCUUAAGUAAAUGGACUCCAUCAAAACAGGUAAUAGUAGGUGAACUGUCAAGUUCCCGUACACUCUAAAUGAUAUAUAUUCAUUCAUCAAAUAGAUCAUUCUGAUCUAGAUCUCAAUUAUUAAGCUCUCCUCCAUCCCUGCCAUCCUCUGUAGAAUAUCAAAUAUAAAUGUCAUAUUAUCAUGAAUUUAAUCAUUUGAAUAAUCCACUAAAAAUGUCUAGUUCUACUAAAAGAACUUAGCAUCAUAACAUCAGGCAAAGAAGAACAUAUAUUAAUGUCAUAAAUUAUGAAUAAAGCCUAAAUAGUUUGAUUUAUAAAGAGCCAUCAACUUAAGUUUAUUUGUAAGAGAAUAAUCAUUGUCUAGUUUUAAAGAACAUGACCAAUACCAACAGGCUUCUUAUGCAGAUAGCUAUUUCUAUGUUUCAAUUUGGAAUGUCACAGUUACAAAUUCUUUAAAGUCAAAUAAUCUAGCAUCAAGUUUGGAAUGAGAUCAUUUAACUAAGAAAAGAAUGGUCCAGCCUAGUUGGAUUGUAUCAUCAAGUUUGGAAUGACACAAGCCUUCCAGAUAGAACUUUGAACUAGGUUAAAGUCAUUUUCAUCAAGUUUGGAAUGAAACAACUCACCUUUUUCAAAUUAGUCCGCAACCAUGAACAUCGAUGAAACAUAUAAAUUGUGCUUGACCACCAAAGGAAGGAAGAUUCGAUAAUUCAAAACAUACAAUUAGAAAGUAAGUAAAUGGUAAUUAAGACUAAUUUACAUAGUCUUUAACCCCAUUUCCCCCACUGUUUUGAAUAAUCGAUCUUUAGUCAUACCUUUUGUGAGAGUAUCGGCCAUGUUAUCCUUCGAUCUCACAUCGAUCAAGGUGAUAACCCCUUGUUCUCUCAGAUAAUUCAACAACGCAUGUCUCAGUCUCACAUGUCUUCUCUUUGAAUUAAAGAAAGCAUUUUUGACAACUUGGACAGCUGCUUGAUUAUCACAGAACAGGCUUAAAGAAUUAAUCUGUAGCCGAGUCAAAGGAAUAUCCAAAAUCAGAUUCUUUAUCCAUUCUGCUUCUUCGCCAGCGGAAGCUAAAGCAAAAAGUUCCGAUUCCAUAGACGACAAGGCAAUACAAGUCUGUCUUUUGGAUUUCCAAGUAAUAGCAGCUCCACCCAAAGUGAAUACAUAUCCACUUGUGGACUUACUAUUUCCAAUUUCUGAGCACCAUGAGGCAUCAGAAUAUCCAUCCACAGUUGGAGGAUAACCAGAAUAACAUAGAGCAUAAUCUUUCGUACCUUUAAGGUAUCUCAUCAGCCUACUAAGGGCAUCCCAAUGCUCUUUACUAGGAUUACUAGUGAAACGACUCAGCAUGCCAACUGUAAAGGCGAUGUCGGGUCUAGUGCAACUCAUAGCAUACAUGAGACUACCAAUCAGUUUUGAGUACUUUAAUUGAUCCACACUGGUCCCUUCAUUAGGACUCAGUCUUUUAUUAUAAUCACAUGGUGUCUCACUCGGUUUACAAUCACUGUAUCCCCAGGUAGAAAGUAGCUGCUCAAUAUAAUGAGUCUGGCUAAGGGAGAUGACUUGCCUUUCAAAUCUUACUUUCAUACCAAGAAUGGUAUUAGCAAUACCAAGAUCUUUCAUGUCAAAUUCUUUAGCUAAAGUAGCUUUCACGUCACUCACUACAGAAUGAUCGGAGCCAAGAAUUAACAUGUCAUCAACAUAUAAGCAAAUGAUGACUAUCUUAUUUGACACAGAACGAUGGUAAAGGCAUUUAUCUGAAUAGCUAGACUGAAAGCCAUAACUCUUUACCACUUUGUCAAAUUUAAGAUGCCACAUCUUAGGUGCUUGUUUAAGACCGUACAAAGAUUUAUUCAAUUUACAAACUUUGUCCUCAAGACCUUUCAUGACAUACCCUUCAGGUUGUUCCAUGUAGAUUUCUUCAUUUAACUCUCCAUUUAGAAAAGCUGUUUUUACAUCCAUUUGAUGCACUACAAAGUGUUCAAUAGAUGCCAAAGCAAGAAGAAUUCUUAUAGUUGAUAGAUGACACACAGGUGAAUAAACAUCAAAAUAGUCUAUUCCACUCUGCUGUUUAUAGCCUUUAGCUACUAAGCGUGCUUUGUAUCUGGCUAUUGAUCCAUCACUAUUCAGUUUCUUUUUCAAUACCCACUUACAGCCUAUAGCCUUAGCCCCUUUAGGCAAAUUGACUAGCUGCCAAGUGUGGUUCUGCAACAGAGAGCUCAUUUCAUCAUCUAUGGCUUCUGCCCACAGUAGGGAUUCCCUAGAUCUCAUUGCUUCUUGAUAAGAAAAUGGAUCAUCCUCGAGAUGGUAAGUAACAAAAUUCUCACCAAAACUUUUGGGAACUCUCUCUCUUGUAGAUAUUCUAACUGGAACUGAUUCAAUAGCCAAUUGUGUGGGAUUAGUGUCAGAAGGGCCUGCUUCAGAUUCUACAGGAGAUUCUGAAAUCAUAUCUGUAGAUCCAGAAACAUUCAAGCCAUGAUCUCUGAGAAACUUAUUCUCAAAGAAUUCUGCAUCUCUAGAUUCUAUCACUGUGUUAGUAGAUAGAUCUAAAAACCUAUCUGCAGCACUAUCUUCUGCACUGCCUAGAUAUACACAGGUAAUGGUUCUAGGUCCCACCUUAGGCCUCUUUGGAUCUUGUAUUCUUACAUAAGCAAUACAGCCCCAGGUCUUAAGAGUAUCAUAUCUACAAGGAUGCUUAUGCCAUAUCUCAUAAGGUGUCAUAGACAACUUAGAGUGUGGCAACCUGUUCAGGAUGUGAUUAGCAGUCAGAACUGCUUCUCCCCAAUAGGAGGAAGGCAUGCCAGCUGUAAGUAACAUAGAAUUUAACAUUUCAGUUAACGUUCUAUUCUUACGCUCAGCAACACCAUUUGAUUGGGGUGAGUAAGGAGCAGUGGUUUCAAGUAUUAUGCCCUCUGAAGCACAAAAUUCCUUGAACCCUGUCAUUGUAUAUUCUCCUCCUCUAUCACUCCUAAACCUCUUAAUUUUCAUGUUGAGUUGAUUUUCUACUCUAGAUUUGAAAAUUUUAAACUUUUCAAAAGCCUCAUCUUUCGAUUUCAACAAAUAGACAUGACAAUAUCUAGAAAAAUCGUCUAUGAAUGUUAUCAAAUACUUUCGACCACCUCUAGUGACGUAAUUUCUAAAAUCACAAAGAUCAGAAUGUAUUAGCUCAAGAAGUUGUGUGCUUUUAGAAACCAUCUUAAAAGGUUUUCUAGUGAUCUUAGCUUGUGCACACACUUCACAUUUGUCAAAUCGAAUAGAAGUAUCCAAUGGAAUGUUGUGAGUUUUAGCUAGAAGUUGCAUUUUCCUGUAGUUCACAUGUCCAAGUCUAUUGUGCAACAACUUUGGAUCAAUCAGAAUAGAACUCACAUGGUUUAUGCUAUCAGUAUCUAAACUCAACCUAUACAUACCAUUAACCAUGAAUGCACAACCAAAAUAACAUGAGUUAACUGAUAAGGUUACUCUACCAUUCAUAGUUGAAAAGGACAUACCAGCUUUAUCAAGUAAGCUCAUAGAUAUCAAAUUCUUUUUAAGUAAAGGUACUACUCUAACAUGUUUCAGAGUUAGUAAUUUACCUGAAGAAAGCACCAAAUUUGCAGUUCCAGUAUGAGUCACUUCUGCCUCACCACCAUUGCAAUUUUCCACGGUGUCUUUCACUUCUGUGACCUCUGUGAGUAGGUUCUUGUCAUUUGCAGCAUGACAAGUAGCGCCACUAUCCAACCACCACUCAGUAGAAAUACUAGCCUUUCCAAUUUUCAUCAUUCCAAUGAAAGCUUGAGGCUCAGAUUCACUAGUUAGCAUAUUAGCCUCACUUUGUGGUGUGUUAUUCUUUGGCUUCUUUGGUAGUCUACACUCUGCUGCCCAGUGACCCCAUUUUCCACAGUUAUGGCACUUUCCUUUCUUUUUCUUUUUGGAGAUAGUCUUUUUGACCUCUAGCUGUGAAGAAGAUUCACCUUUUGGUGACUUGGAUCUUUUCUGAGGUUUAUUGAAGUGUGAAACUAAGUUGGCAACUGACUUUUGUUGUCCUACUUGUUCUAAAUUCUUUCUAGUACUGUUUUGAUCCUCAAUGUGAAUAUACCUCUUUAAUUCAUCCAGUCCCAUCUGUUCUUUCAAUCUGUGCAUUUCAGUCUUGAAAGAAUUCCAUUCAGCAGGUAACUUACUCAAUACAAGACCAACAAAGAGAUUAUCAGACAUAUCAGAUUUAUCAUCUUUCAGCUUGUUCCUCAUGUUCUCAAGUUCAAUUAAUUGAGAGGUGAUACUUGAAUUCAUAUUGAACUUAAAGUCAAAAAAUUUCUCCGCUAGAAGAGUUUUAGAAAGCCCCUCUUGUUUUUGGAACUGAGCGUUCAAGUGAUCCCAUAUCUCUUUCGCUGUCUUAUACUCACUAUAAGUCAUAGCUAGACGAGGAUUUAAAGAGUUCAACAAGUAAUCUCUACAGAAAUCUUCAUCCUUGUUCCAUUGAUAUUCAUCCACAUUUUCAAUGGUAGAUGCAAAAUCACUCAGAACAGUGUAGAAUAUUUCACGUUCUUUCAUGCCAAAUUGAACAUGUAAUUUCCAACCAUGAAAUUCAGUAACAUCAAAUGAUUGCAAUUUUAUAAUAUCAAAAGAACUACGCUUUGCCAUUUAAUCAGAGCAAAGUGUUAGAAAGAGUGCACCUUGUAGUCCGCAGAUCUCGCAAAGUCGAAUAAAGCCCCUGAUCUGAAUCAAAGUGCUUUGUAGAGGUGGAAUUUGCCAAAAACAAACCCAAAAUUGGAUCCGUAGCGCCCAAAAACCUUAAGAUGAACUGCCCUCGUCGCCGGAAACUGCUGAAAACUUCCGAUGGCCGUAACUUCGUCGUCCGACCUCCGUUCGAGACGAGUAACCACUCAAAACGUUCGUAUCGACGAGUAGAACAGAACCCAAGUUGUCUCACCCUUUGAAAUUGGCUAUAAUUUCUGAAUUUUUGAAUCAAAGAAUUCCGCCGCCUAACCUUCAAACUCAGAUCCCGGCCAAUCUGAUCGUCGAAAUCGAAAAUAAAUUAUACCGGUGAAUUCGUCUUGACGAGAUCUUCGAAUCGACACCUUACUCGCUCAAAUCCGACAUAGGAUCGUAAUACUUUAAGAUUGUUGGAGGUUAGGGUUUUUGGGUACUUAAAGUAUUACAUCAAGAGACGUCAAGUUUGGAACGCUCAACAGUGUUACCUCCAGCGUAGGAAACCCUAGAUUUAAUAAAUAAGCUAUUGGGCUCCAGAGAUAUGGGCCUUAAUACGCUUUCACUUAUUGGGCUUGUAUGUGAAUAUAUUAUUUGGAUUAUAUUAUAACAAAAUAUCCAAUAACAAUAUAUCCAACAUUUGAAACUAUCCGAGAGAUAAUGAUAUUAAUUCAAAUUAGAACUGAUGUUCUUAGUAGCUGUACUCACACUCUCUCUCUCUCUCUCUCUCUCUCUCUCUCUUUUGUUGAAUUAAUCUAACUUGUGAACUAUAGUGCACGUUACAUAUACUUGCCCGAAAAGCAUUAUUAAUUUUGUAAUUUAUCCAAUUUUGCUCUGCAUGAUCGGCCAAAUUUGCUUCAUGGCCCAUAGGCCAGCAGUGCAUGGGCCGAUCUGGGCCGUUCUUUGUCGACCUUGCGGUCCACUAGGUAAUACUACAUGUGUAUCUUUUUAUAGAGCGUAAAUUUCAUUUUUCAAAAAUUUAAUUACAUAAGUUAAAUUUUUUAAAAAAUAAUUUUUGAAUGAGUUGAAUGCAAGAUGUAUUUACAGCGUCUCACCAGUAGCCAUUUGAAAGUACAAAAUUUUAUAAGAUUAUUUUAUUUAAUUAAAAAUUUUGAAAAUAUUAUUAUUAUUAUUAUUUUAAAAAAUCUGAUAUUUGAAGGCUAAUUGGGUAAAACGAGGAUAACGGUCGUUUCGCCAUAAACGCCGAAGAGUUACGGAUGUGUAACGCCGCCUCCUCCCCUAACGGCUCCGUUACGGACGCCCCCCGCGUUCAUUCCGCGUCGGGGGUAAAACCGUCAUUUCGGUCUCUCUUAGUAAAAUAAUACAUUUGUACGUAGAACCCCUCGACUAUUCUAUUAUUAUUUACUACCCCGUAAUUGAUCUUUUUUUAAAAAAAAUAAUUAAAAUUUGAAAAAUAAUAUGACUAAAAUUCUUUAAGUCUAUAAAAGUAGAAGUUGAGGAAUCUCAACAAGAAAAAUUAGUUAAGUAGACAAUUUCAAUACGACUUAUAGUUAAGGGGUCACUCUAUAAUUUUUUGAUAAAAAAAUGAUACAAAAAAAAUAUUUGGAGACUACAAAACUAAAAUGAGCUCCCUUUUAUUAAUUUUUUUAUUUUCUAAAUUUUGAAUAUUUUGAUUUUAGUAAAUCAAGUAAAUUAGUAAUUUUUUCAAAUUAAUAAUAAUUUUAGCAAAUUUUUUAACUUUGUUUGUUUUUAUUAAAUAAAAUAAGAAUAAAAAAUAAAGAUUGGAGUAAAGUAAGUAUAAUAAUUUAAUUUAAAAUAUAAAGAUUGAGAAAACCUGACCAUAAAAAAAUAUAGUUCAAAGGUUUCUUUCAAAAUAGUUUAUAAAUGAGGAAUAUUUAUACAUUUUAUCUUAAAAAAUUACUAAAUAUUAUUGAAAAAAAUGUUAAGUUUCUAGUAUUAAAAAUUGUAAUAUCUACGAGCCGUUAUUCAAGGGAUUAUAGAAUUUUUCUAUCUCUUUUUAGAUUUUAGUAAAAACUAGUGAUAGGAUAAGAAAAAAAGAGCUUUUGAAUUAUGAUAAAGUGUUAUAAGAUUACAAUUUAAAAUAAAAUGUAGAGUUGAUUGUUCCUAAAAUAGAGUAUAAAAAUAGUUAAAAAAAAAAAAGAAAAAUGACAAAGCAGCUUAAUAAUUUAAAGUUGCCACCGCACCUGUUUCCGCCACUUUUUUUUUGAUAAAAUUACGAAAAUGGCCCGAGAGCGAACGUGUGAUAAAAUGACGAAAAUACCCUCUUCGGAGAGCCUGGCGUGGAAGCUAAGCAUCUAAUUAUUGGACGGCGCCUGUCGCCGCGUUCGUCCUCGCUGAUCAGUUCGGACCCGUUUGAUCAGCAUCCAACGGCUAAUAUUACCCCGCAUUGAUCUUUACUUUGCUUGAUUGGAUAUAUAGGUACUGGGCAAAACAUAAUAGUGAGAUAAACCAUCUUGUAAAAUAAUAAUAGCAAUAAUAUAAUUAAAUUAUAAAUAAUAAAAUUAAUAAAGAAGUAAAAAAAUAAACUUUUGCUUACAAUCAUACUAAAAAAUCUCAUAAAUAAUAAAGUAUCUUCUUAGAUAUAAACAUAAGAAAGCAUAUUUAUUAUUUACUAUCCAAAUAAAAUAUUUUUAUUUUCAUUUAUAAUAAAUUAUGUAAAAUAUUUCAUUUUAUGAAUCAAAGCCUCAAAUUAAUUAAAGCAUAAAUUAUAGUUUAUUAGGUGCACGAAUGUUUUAUUUAGUAUAUAUUUUUAGCUUGGCAAAUGCUAGCAUAAUAUGUCAAAAUAGCUGUAGAUCGAUCUUAUACUUAGCACUCGGACGAUGGAGUGUAAAAUUUACGUAUUUUUGCAGUAUACACGUACUAUUGUUGUUUUGUUUUUUUAAAAAAAUAGAAUGCAGCAUUUGGUAAGUAUGAACAUUGUUAGAUGUGACUCGAAAUCUAUUAUCGAUUUAGGUUUGCGUUUACGACUCUCCGACAGUUUCGCGGUGCGACCAAUUUGGAAAAGAAAAUUAUGAAGAAAAAAUGAGUGUGGGGGGCGGAGCCCCCGCGGUACGGAUCGGAUCCGAAAUCCGUUAUGAGUUUUCCUUUUCGUUUAUCGUUUAUGCCCUAGAGGCGUGUGACCGUGGUUGGUUGUAACCUGAAGAACAUUGUAUUUCCUUUUCGUUCCAUAGUGAAGUUCUCUCCUCCCUCGCUCGUGAUUUUUUCCUGCAAAGGAUUUUUCACGUAAAUCUGUGUCUCUUUAUUUUUCUGCUUAUGGUUUGAUUGUUUUUUGUGUUCGUCAUUUCGUUUCCGUUUGUGCGUUUGUCGUAACAAACAUUUUGUUUGCUAUAUAUGUAUAUAUUUUUUAGUUUAUUCAAGAAUAAUAUAGUAUUAGGUGAAAAUGCAUCUAUUAGGUUCGAAAACUCCUAUUUAGAUAUUCUUUUAGAAUAAAAACUAUUGUACAAAUUAUUACCGAAAAUAAGAUAUAUUAUUAGGUCUUUAAGUUAUUUUGUCGAAAUAAACCAUUUUAUAUUGUCCACAGAAAUAUUUUUACAUAUAAAUUAUGAAUGUAGACCUUUAAAGAAACAAGAAUAAAACUCAUAGCCUUUAAUCGAAACAUUAAAAAAAAAUACUGAACAAAUUAUUUGUGGAUAAUUAAUUUUGACAUUCAACGUAGUCUAAUUGGUAUCCUUAUAUUAUAUUUAAUAUCAUAUUUGGCCACAAAUUUACAUAAAAUUAAUAUAAAAAUUGCAGAAGCAGAGUCAUCAUCUAUUAAAUCGCAUGAUAGAAAACUAAAAUGGAUUUUAAAUUUACAUAAAAUUCAACAAAUGGAGGGCUCUGAAAAUUCCAAUUUGGGAGAAAGAUUUUUCUCUUUUCUUUUUUUUCCUUGAUUUUGUAUAUAUAUAUGUCAUAUGUCAUGUUGUGGGUCAUCGCUGGUCAGAGGAGAACCGUUCGAUCAUCAUCCGACGGUCGAUAUUCUCCUGCCAAUGUUUAUCGACAUAAUGGCGACACGUGGCGACAGCUGUCCCUCGUGGGGCCCGCAGCGGAUCAGACGGCUACGAACUGCUAUCACCGUCCAGCGAAAGGACAGCCUGGGAGCGCGAAGCACGCAUCUCAAAUACACCAAGGGCAUUUCUGGAAAAACAAAUGCACGCAACGUGGACGCCCGUUAAUGGCGGAGCUAACGGCGUGAUAACGGAACACGCGUCUGUCGCCCGUAUAAAGCGGCUCCGACUCGCAUACUCUUCCCAUGCUUCGCCGAACGAACGCGAAAAACGCUCCGCUCGUUGCGAUUUCGUAGUCGAUUGCGUUGCGUUGCGUUGCGAUCUCUCUCCUCGCCUCGAUCCGAUCCCUCUUCGUCGUCGCUCUCCGAGCUCGGUGUCCGAGGAGCCAUGGCGGAUCAGCUCACGGACGACCAGAUCUCCGAGUUCAAGGAGGCCUUCAGCUUGUUCGACAAGGACGGAGAUGGUCUGAUUCUGACCCCUAUUUUUUUUUUAAAAAAAUAAUAAUAAUAAGAUGGUGUUAUCUGAUAGAUCUCUGUGAGUGCUGGUGUUUAUUUGAUUCUUUGUUUUGUUUGAGAAUAUUUUUUUUUUGAUUCGAUGUGGUUUUUAAGGUGCUUGUUUGAUCUCACGAUCAAUAGAUUAUUAUUUGUUCUCUUCAUUUUUAACAUUUUUAGUUGAUUUGAAUCCUUGUUUGUGUAUCUUAUUUGUUAUGUGUACGAUUCAUUUUUUUAUUAAAUUAACUGUUUGUGUUUUUCUUGUCGAUUAAAGCUUACUGAUAUUUUUAGCUUGCAAUCUAAAAUGCUUGAUCGAUUUUUCAUUUUUAUGUGUUAAUGUGUUAAUUUGCAUGUAUUUGGUGCCUACCGUGUAUCUUACUAUAAUUUAAGAGAUUUGGAAAUACGUAAGCGUGUGAGGUAAUGUUGCAGAAUGUAGUGGAGAAUCGUUGCAUUGACUAAUUUUUGCUCCUUUUGGAUUGUCAUAUAAUGGAAGCAAUUUGUUGAUCUUAGAGUAGUAGUAUAGUUGUUUAUCUAUAAUGUAGAAUAUUUUGAGCAUCAUCAUUGAACUAAGAUGUGCUGUGAUUACUACUUACUAUAUGAAGAACGCAAAAGAUCUGAAAAGAAGUGUUUUGGAAAUAAUCAGAGGGACAACAAAUUUGAAUCAAUUGCUGUACUGAACAAUUCAGAAUCGGAAGAAGCAAAAUGCUAAUGUCUGAUUCUGCGCUGUGAAAAUAGUUUUUUAAUUUGCAGUAUGCGGAGACCGAUAUUAUCCUGCUAAGAUCCAACUUCUUUAAUUCUCCAUAACCAUUAUAUUUUUAUGAUCAUCCCCUAAUGCAAGAAAGAAAUGUUACAACUAUCGCAUCUGCUGCUGUAGCUCAACUUUGGAAAUGCCUUUCCCAAAGGCAACCUCAUUGCUACCUCGAAGCUCUUAGAUCUCUAAGAGAAAUCCGAAAGCACUGUAGAGAUUCAUGCUUUUGGAUGAUCAGAAACAGUUGUGAGACAUGCUGCAGCAGGUCUGGCCACCAUUUUCUUUUUGUACUAGUGCCUGUUCUUCAGCAGAUACGUAGGGCCUGUUUGGCCCUGUUGUGAGAUGCAAUGGUUUUUGAUGAACUUCUAUUUAAAUAGUGUUAUUGGGAGAAAUACCAAAUUACAAUCCCAUUCAAUAGUGUUUCUUUUUUUUUUUAGUGCUGUAGAAUUAGGAUCUCCGAAAUCGUACUUUCUGCUUGUGUUUUUGAAGUCUCAUUUUUUACAUUCCAUGUUAGCAGAAAGUCCAACUGUUCAGUUUGUCAAACGCUAUGGCUUAAAGCAAAAGAAAGAACAAGUCCAAACAUCGACUUAUACAUGCUUCUUUUCCUAUUUAUACAUAAUACAAAUAUUUGUUCAAAAUAAAAAUCUAAUCCUUUUUAUGAAGUUGGUUGCUAACUGGAAUCACUGCUCAGUUCACGGUGGGUAAAUAGAUGCAAUUCAUUUAAAUUCUUUUUCCUGAUUGGGCUUUGGACAAGCAGGUUGCAUCACAACAAAGGAGCUGGGGACUGUGAUGCGCUCCUUGGGCCAGAACCCAACUGAGGCAGAGCUUCAGGACAUGAUCAAUGAGGUGGAUGCUGAUGGGAAUGGUACAAUCGAUUUCCCAGAAUUCCUGAACCUGAUGGCGCGCAAGAUGAAGGACACCGAUUCUGAGGAGGAACUGAAGGAGGCCUUCAGGGUGUUCGAUAAGGACCAGAACGGCUUCAUCUCUGCUGCCGAGCUCCGCCACGUCAUGACCAACCUCGGGGAGAAGCUAACUGAUGAGGAGGUUGACGAGAUGAUCCGCGAGGCUGAUGUUGAUGGUGACGGCCAGAUCAACUAUGAGGAGUUCGUCAAGGUCAUGAUGGCCAAGUGAAAUCAAAAUGUAUAAUAUUUUAAAAGAAGGAAUGGGGAAAUUUAUUUCGUGGCAGAUUUAUUCAAAUGCGCGAGAUUAUUUCCUCCUCUUCUGCUGCGUAGUUAUCUGGAUAGGGUAGUUGUGAAACGGAAGAAGGACGAUGACUCUGUGUUUGACUCCCUCUCUUCCCUGCUUGUCUUUGGAUUAUAUUGUUAAUCCCUGUUUCUGUGAAUGUUUUAUGUUUGUUUCAUCUUGGAAGUGGAUUUUGCAUAUGCAGUAUGCUAGUUAUAUGUUCAUCUUCGUUAUAACUAUAAUUUCUGAUGAAUCACUUUUUGCAGUAUUUCUUUCGUCAUGCUGCUGCCCAUUUGGUUUUAAUAGCUGAACUGCUCAGUUUCAUGAUGAUGCAUAUAUAUAGUUCUCCUUGCAUUGUUGGCAUCUCUUGUAGUGUGAUAUCUUGGCUUUUAAUGUGCAAAUCACACAUCAGCAAAGUGCAAUAUUUUUAUGAUUCUGUGAUUUUUAAAUGUUAAAAUAUCAUGCUUCUCGACUGUUAUUUUUGCUGUUGAUUGUUACUCAUGAAAACCAUGGUGGAAUGUUCUUAUCUAUGACUUCUACUUUAUCACUUUGUUUGUUUUAUAUUUUACCACCUUAUCAUGGAUAUCUAUUUCCUUAGGAAGAUCAACCAUUUCAUUUUAAUGUAAAUUAUUAUUAUUAUUAUUAUUAUUAUUAUUAUUAUGUUGCUGAAGUUGAGAAGAUCAAUCGAUCAACCUGCAUUGAGCUUUGAAAAGCAUCUCCUAACCUUCUAGGAAUCUCUUUUACAAUAGAGAAAUGAUAUUCACAGUUCUUUGACUUGCAUAUCAAAUUUGAUGGUGUUUUAUGAUUGGUAGAAAUGGUAGUGUGCUUUGUGUACGAAGAAAUAAUAAUAUGCAGAGAAUAUCACAAGGCGGGUAGUUGGAAGGGCAAUGAAUUUGGAAGGUGCUGUGGUAGGUAGCAACUACUUUACUCUGUUUUUUCUAUCAAUGUUACAAUCUCCCUCUUUUGGUGCUUGUGCUUAUAGUUGUUGAUAAUAUAGGAGGAAUGGGGAGCAAGGAGAAGAAGAUGAAGACACUCUGCCUUCAUGGCUUCCGAACUAGUGGGAGCUUCUUGCAAAAGCAAAUCAGCAAGUGGGAUCCAUCCAUCUUCCAAGAAUUCGACUUGGUGAGCUCUCUCUCUCUCUCUCUCUCUCUCUCUCUCUGAAGGAUGCAUUAAUAAAAUAAAGAAUAGAGGAUCAACUAAGUUGUUCGCUAUGUGAUGUUGAUAGUUUUCUUCACUCCGGAUUCUAAAUCAUUACACGAUUAGACCUGAGCAAAAUCCACGCCGGUCUGAUUUUAGAUCGGCUGUGCGAAGCUCUAAAUGACCGAAUUAGGUCGUGUUGGGCUAAGUUAGAAAGUUAGAAUCCUGAGUGGCCUCCUCAAGAUUUUCUCAAAUCAAUCUACACCAUCAACUGGGUCAGCCCGAACCGGCGGGGCUAGAGUUUUUUCACUUCUAUUCAUGAUUACUGAUUAUUGAAUCUCUGAAUGAGCUUUCUUUCUUAUUUUAUAGUGCAUCCUUACUGUGAGCUGAACUUCUUUGUUUCGAAAUCAUUUUGAUUUUCAUCGUCGUUUAGGUCUUCCCUGAUGGGCUCUUUCCAGCAGGAGGGAAAUCGGAUAUAGAGGACAUAUUCCCCCCGCCCUAUUUUGAGUGGUACCAAUUCAACAAGGUGGGUGCAGAAUAAGUAUAUGUUAAUAGUACAAUACAUUUAAGUUUCCCACAAGAUAUACAAAGAAACACUUGAGUUAGAGUUCUCUAUUAGUUUAAGUGUUUUAGGUUGAUUGCUUCGCGCAGAAUCGAUUAAUGUAGGCAUUUGGUACAAUAUUUGAUUGCCCAAUCCAUUAUUCUACAUCAAAAUUUCCACUUAGUUAUUUAGUUCAUGGGAAACCACAUAUGAUGAACAACAUGUUUUCUAUUCUUAGGCAUCUAAUACAGUAGUUAUCAUUUAAUAUGGCUUGAUACAUGCGACUUAAUUUUUGUGGCGUAUAUGGCAAACAGGAUUUCACGGAAUACACGAAUCUUGAUGAAUGUAUUUCUUACUUGUGCGAUUACAUGACAAAAAAUGGCCCUUUUGAUGGACUGCUUGGUUUCUCACAGGUAUAACUUCUACGCUUUAACCAGUGUAAUACAUCUUAUUUUUUUACCGUUAUUUUUAUUUGAAAUUGUAAAAUUUAGUUUGCGAUGCAUUAAUAUUACAUGCCAAAAAUAUUAACCAACCCUACCCCUACAUAAGCAUCCAUGAGUCUUUGUUCAAACUUUUUAGUGAUGUUUCAUUUCAAUCUGACAAACUUGUUUUUUUUUUUUUCUUUACCCUAAUAUUUCCGCAUUGAAUCAGGGUGCGACGCUAUCGGCACUUUUGGCCGGCUAUCAAGCACAGGUACGUUACUACUCCAAGAUAAGAUAAGAAUAGAAGAGAUAAUUGCAAACAAUAUCCCUAGUUACUACCAGUGAAUGUUAAUAUUCUGUGUGCAUGGUACUUUCCGGAACAAAAAAAAAAAAAACACAUCUAACCCUAACAGUGCAAACAAUCUAGUACCAAAUCCAUCUCAUGUUGCAUCAUUUAUUCUCAUACAACAGGGCAAGGUACUGAGUGACCACCCACCAAUAAAAUUUGUGAUCUCAAUCUCUGGGUCCAAAUUUAGAGACCCAAAUAUUUGUGAUGUUGCAUACAAGGAACCCAUCAAGGUUAAGUCCGCGCAUCUGAUCGGGGACAAAGAUUGGCUCAAAAUUCCCUCUGAGGAGCUCGCAACUGCAUUUGACAACCCUCUGAUUCUAAGACACCCACAGGGCCACACUGUCCCCAGGCUAGGUUUGAAAUUUCCUGCUUAAAAUUGCUUACUUUUUUGCUUGCAUGUAUUUGAAAUAGAUAAACAUGUACUUGUUUUAAAUCAAUGUAUAAUAUUUUACUAUAAUGUUUUGUUGGAAGCUAAUUUAUACCCUUCAGAUAAAGGCCCUUUUUAUUCCCUUUUUUAUACCCUGAAUAUAGGAUAUAAUCUUGAAUUCUUGAUGUUGACAGAUAAGAUUCAUUGAACUUGUUUUCGCUAUUUGAAUUUAAACAGAUUCAAUCAAUCUAAUUUGCUGCUGUCAGAAAAGCUUACCUUUCGGUCUAACGGCAGAAAGAUGAAUAACUGCAGAUGAGGCAGCAGUGAGGCAUCUUUGUGAGUGGACUACAAGCGUUCUGGGCGAUACGUUCGCGCAUCGCAGUUGCAAUUUGGAGAACUCGGGAGCAGAGGAGACCAACACCGCGUCGCAUUCAGAUGUCAAUUCGGGGAGUUUGAUUCCUACAUACUUAUCUGACUUACGGCGAGAACUGGUGUUGUUGAGAAUGGAGAAGCUUAUAAGAAGUGGGAACUUGGAGGGGGGGGCAAAAAUAAAAUAAGAGGAAAUAAAAGGAAACUGGUGUUAGUUGAGAAUGGAGAAAGCUAAUAAGAAGUGAGAACUUGGAGGGAGCAAAGAAAAUAAAAUAAAAUAACAAAGGAGGGGGCAGUACCUCAUACGCCUUAGUUGACUUUCCCUACUAUUUAAGCGUACUUAACUGGGGGAGCAACGCUUUGAAUUGGCUUAUCAGUGUACUCAGAUGAUUACCUAGACUCUCAAAGUAACAUAUCAUAAUAUAUUAUAUAUAUAUAUUUUUUUGCCUUUCUCACUUCGUUUGAUAUCUUAUUUAUGUUUUAUUUUUUCAAUAAAAUUUUGUAUAUUCAAAACUGCAGAGGUGAGCAGUAAAUUAAUUACAAUCAUUUCAUCUGAAGUGUUUAUUUAACAAUAACGUUAAAAAUUAAAAGCUUUUUCUCUCUUUUUAAUUUUUUUUAAAAAAACAAGUUAUCAUCUAUUAUCUCGCUGGAUGUAUUAUAAGCUUAGUCAAUAAUAAUAAUAAUAAAAAAUCUUUUCUCCAAGCACAUCAAAUUACAUAGAAUUAAGUUUUUUAAAAAAUUAAAAAAUAAACAGGAUAGCUAACGAGACAAAUCUUUUGUUCCUUAGAGUGGAAUAGAUAAGGAAUCAAAUCACAUACACUAUUCGAUCAUUCCAAAGAAAGGCUAAUUUACUGACUAGACGGAGUAGGGAGGGAGCAUAGUUAAUUUGGAUUCGGCAAAAAUUCGGUACAGCUAUAAUACAAAUAAAAUUUAUAUCCUAAUUUUAAAAUUCGUUGAAAAAUACGGCGAAAAAAUGGAUUCGCCAAUUAUUCGGAUACAUAAUUUAUACGGAUAUUAUACGUUCACUAAUUAAAAAUUCAGGAUAAAAAAUUUGACUAUUAAAUUAAAUUUUUUUUCUUUAGAUUUAUGCUAUUAGCAUAAAUACUUAUAAUUCUGAAGAAUCUUGGUAAUUCAGCUAUUAAUUUUUUUUUCUCUAAAUUAAAAAUUUUCUUUAGAUUUAUUUAUUAUCAUAAAUAAUUAUAACCCUUAGAUCUAGAAUACACCAAUAAGCACAAACCUCUUGGUACUUCUAAAUUUUUAACCUUUAAAUCUACUCUUUGACUACUUAUAGCUUUUAGAUCAAACACUACCCCAUCUGCCACCACCUAUCACCACUUAUCACCAUCAUCCUACCCAUACAAUCACUCCAUUCAAGAGCUAUAAAUUCAAAAUCACCAACCCUUUGAUGCUUUUCAAAAUAUUCUAGUUCAACUCUCUAUACAUAUAUAUGUGUGUAUGCUCUCUAUACAUAUGUGUGUGUAUGCACGCAUGCGUGGAGUGAGAGGUCCAUGCCACAUGGUCCACGAUACUGAGUGCAGCCUCGUGGACCCCGCUGUUUUCCAACGCAGUACGCUGUGAUUUUUUCCUCCACGCUCCUCUUUUCUUCCUCCUCCCCUUUUCUUCUUUGCUUCGCUCGGUCACCAUGUUUCCUUCAAAAUUAAACAGACAUCGCUCCGUCUCCUUGUUUCCUUCAAAAUUGAACAAAUAAGGUUGCACGACUGCUCACGAGGAGGCACAUGAAUUUGUGAAGCAGUGGUGGCGCGAUACUGGUCCAAAAAAUUUCAUCAUUCUGCAGCCGCCUUAUAAUUCGGUGAAACUGUUUUGAUCACGAAUACUCUAAGUAAGAAAAAAAAACGCAUUUUAUUCUGAUUUUUUAGAAAAGUUCAUAAACGGAGCUUUUUAGACGGUUUGCCGUUUGCUCGUGAAUAAUUCACAUUUACACGUGAAUUAACUAACACAGGUAGGGAGUAGUUUGGAUCCACGCACUCUACCGCCCACCAACCUAUUCCCAAUUACCGCUUUGAUGCGGCAAAGUGAGUUAUAGUAAUAUUAUAACAAAAUUCAAUUACGCACAAAGCUCACGCUAAUGCAACAACUUCGUUGAAAAGGCAUCAGCAAAAUCUUUUUGGGAACUUAAGCAUGCUCAUAUGCUUUGAAGAGGAGCAAGCAACAUACCAAGUUUAACAGAGAUGUAAAUCAUGUUUUUGUAGGCUAACAAAAAAAAUUCUCAAGGAUACAGAUUACCGCGAGAAUGUAAAAGCAUGUCGAGAGAUUAACUACCGACAUUUCCACAACAAUGAAAACCACUAUUUGCACGGAUUUGAAGAUGACGGAGCAAAAUCACAAAGCACCACACAAAAAUUCUUGGAUUCACCUUGUAUGUUCGCUUCUGAUAUUGUGCAAAUUUCUGCGCUGCAAAGUCAUUUGGUGCAGCGGGUAAAUGGAAUUCUUCAUGCAAACAAGCAGUAGCAAGUUCAUAUAUAACUCUGCCGUCUCAACUAACUCGGUUAGAUAUUGUUUGGUAAAGUGAUUUAAGCUGAGUAUUCCAUUUGUCAAUAGCAGUGUAUUUCUUCGUUCCCUUAGACCUGAAAAAAAGAUGCGACGUCAUACAACGAGAUCAGAUUACGUGAAUUUCACUGGAAGAAGUUCAAAGGAGUUUAAUAAGAAAGAGAGUUACCUGUCACCACGCUCUAAAAGCUUGUUCACCUGAUCAAUGUGACCCUGAAUACGGUUGUCCAGAAUCAGCGAGACCAAGAGCUGCUCAACAUCCUUUUCUGGGACAUUGAGUUCCUAGAGAGAAAAAGUUAAAUAUCGAGAUCAGGUCCAUAUAGUACUUGUGAUGCCCCACUUUCCAAGGAGUCAUCCAUCCUAGAACUUCCUUAGCCCUAGCACGCCCAACCAUCUUAAUCAGUUGAGUCUAACCACCGGCCAAAAUGUUAUAGCCGGAUUAACAGAUUUAGCCCUAGAUAUAAGACUUUCAAAUCCUGAGUGUCACAGUACUGAUAAGCACUCUAGGGAUGUUAGAUACACCAUAAUUACAAGGCUACAGAGUCCAAUUACAAGGCUAGAGUGCAAUUAAAAGCCUACAUAGUCCAAUUUAAACAAGUCGCAAAAAAUAAUAUCACGAACAAAGAAGAUUUAAAUUUGUUUAUCUUUAGCCCAGAUCUUAAACAACAGUGCAUAUAUUCUAGUUGACGCUAAAGCCUGAUAAUUAUACUACUGAAAAGCAAGGGAAAUUUUCAGUGAUGCUAGAGAGAGAGAGAGAGAGAUAGAGAGAGAGAGAAAUCACCUUUGAAAUGAAUGGAAUUCGGAUUCGUGUAUAUGGUUUUAUGAGCUUGAGCAACACUUGAGUUCUGAUAUUCUUCAGAAGAUCCUCAAUAUAAUUGCGAAUGAAAGGAUCAUCCAUAAUUGUUCUUCUAUUGCUCUGAGACACCCAAUUACCAAAGCAGCAGCAGCUUUUUGAGAAUUUAAGAAAAUGGACAUGAAAAUACAAGAUCAUUAUUUCAUAUUAGCAGGUCAUAUGAAACUUCUCACCUUUAAGAUCUUCUCAAAUUCCAGAAUCUCAUUUUUCUGGUAAGCAGCAAUAAGAUUUGUCAUUGCUAGGAUUUCGGGAUCAUUUUUGUACCUAUGUAAAUCAACAGCAGUAUAUUAACAGGAGAAACAACAGAAAGUUUUAAGAGAAAAGUACUGUAUAUUGAACUUACGGCUUUGCCUCUUGCCCAUCAAAGGGAUUCACUUCAGAUUCCAUUAACAUAUUGGCCAGAACCAAAUAUCUAGCAGGUGAUAAACCAUAUCAAGAAAUGUAACAACAAGAAAUUCUGAAAUUUAGAGACUCAUUGGCAUGCCUAUCGGAGCAACUUCUCUAUUCAAGGUGUUUGACAAGUAAAGAGUCUAGAGCUUCUAGCUUGAUAAACAAGCAAAAAGGCUACUAGACCCCAAAAGUGGAACCUCCCACUUAAAGCUUCUACUUCUUUAAGCAAAGCUGCAGGCGGAUUUCAAGGAAAAGCUAUUAACGCUUAGACGCAAAUAGCACUUCCAAAGAAGCUCUAUCUUGGCCAAACAGGGCCUUAGGCACCUGGCAACAAAGACAGUAAGAACAUACUUUAAGCAUUGAAUUCGCCGCUGAUUCCCAGCUUCAUCAUAAUUCUUAAAUGCUUCAAAGAAAUCUGUGGCUGCCUCAUCCCACUGCCUCUCAGCCAUAUGCAUUUUUCCACCGCAUUCAUGGAUAAUACCCAUGAUUCGUGGAUGAGGUAUGGCUGAUUUAAUUGAAAGGGCCUUCUGGUACAAUUGCUGCAAAAUAAACCAUAUAUUAGAACUGCUCCAUAAACCACAAGAAAUAAAAGUAAACAAUGUAGGUCAAGCAGAUAUGAUCUGCGAGCAACAAUAAAACACCCUUAAAGAAAUUUCCACAUAAAUGCUCAUUAAGUCCAAUCUUUCCAAGGCAACAAUUAGGACCACAUUUAGAACUACAGAAUCAAGGUGAACAACCAUAGAGUGAAUAACCACUAACGUACAAUAAAAUAGCCCAUUUCAGCAAGAAGUAAUUGGCAACAAAAUAAUCAACUAUGCCAACUAAAUGAAGGCAUAACAGCAUGCUCAUACCUUAAGUUUCUUGUUAUUCUUAGUCUCCGUGUACAUUUGAAUCUCAAUAGCAUAGACUUCUAGAAGCUGUGUGCCUUUCUUCUGGUCAUCAGUUCCAUCCUCCCUUUGGCAAGAUCUGUGCAGCUCCUUCAAAAUCUGUGCAUAAUUUUGAGAAUAAAAACAUCUUAGUUAACAAAAUGCCGUGCAAGGGAUUGCAGAUGUUACACAAGUUAAGGAGUACCUUAUUCAUCCGUCCGUACUCUCCCAUGUCAAACCAAAUUUUGCAAAGCUUAAGAUUUGUCUUAAACCACAAUCUCUGCAAUCAAAUGAGAAAUUUCAAAGAUUAACCAAGAGUAUAAAUAUUUUGUAGUCUAAUAUUCAUGGAUGUCCAACAGCGCACUGUACAUUCCACUACCUCAUUCUUCGCCUCUUCAAGGGCCUUCAAUGUUGUUUGAUAGAACUCCUGCAGAAGAUUAAAGUUCUGGCUUGCAGAUCCCGAAACAAAAUCCAUUAUGUUGUUUAUACAUUUUUCGCUGUAGUUACGUGUAACAGCUGACUUGAUGUAUGUCAACAUCUCCCUGUAGGCAUCCAUCAUCUCUUUGUACUUCACCAGUCGAUAAUAAAGCUUGACUGUUUGCUUUAGUGCUUUGAAUCCCCUGUUAAUUUGGAGAAAAAGAGGUAUCAAAUGGACUAAGUAGUAAAAUUUAAAUCAAAUGGACUGAAUAGUAAAAUUUAAAUCAUAUUAUCAUAUUCAAAGCUACAUGAGUAAUUAACGGAUUCCCAUGCUAUAGUAAAUUUUUAAACUUUUUGAAUAUAGAAGUUUCAAAAGAAGCAGGAAAAACCUCAGAAAGGGCUUCCAAGACAUAUAGUCACUACAGGCUAAAUGAUAUGCAGCGGCAAAGCUGAUAGUUCAUACGAGGCCGUCAUAAGAUGGCAAAGGAGAAAACCAAAAAUAUUCUCAAUACCUAUGAUAAAAUUGCUAAAAUACUUUCUCCUCUUGUACAGCACAGUAUUAUAUAAAACAAUAUAAAAGGAAUAUACAAGGCAAAACUCAGGGAAAAAAAAGGGGUGUUUCUUGAAGUCGUGACAGACUCGACAAUCAAUGCUUGCUCGACAUGAGUAACAUAUCAAUCCCUGAUUAAAGCAAUGUAUUCAAAUCACAACUUAUUGACAUCUCACCACUCAGCUUUCUCAGGUUCCAUGCGAACUACUUCUGCAAAACCAGCAAGAGCACCCUCCGGAUCUGUUUCUACCAAACCUAUAAGAAAAAUCCCACAAACUAAUUAUCAAAUAAGCAAGUGUGCCUAAAUAAUAAUUAUUAGAAGAGCGGAAAAUGACUGUAUAAAUAGGAUAAACCUCUAUCAAUGAAAAAGGAACACGGUGCCCAGCAUAGGUGAUCGAAGUAUCAAACAAUAUACUGAGCUUUCACGCGCCCGCAUGAACUUCUUAAUUCCAAGCAAUGUGAAAAAUUCGGACUUAAAAUAGAUAUAAACAUCAGAUUAUGCUUCUAAGGCGAUCAUUUUGUUUACUAAAAAUCUGUACUUCAAUAACAAGAUUGUUUUAAUUAGUUAAGAGAGCACGGUAAAAUAUCAUCAUAUUAAUAUUACUAAUAUAACAGCAUACACUAACACUCCAAGGAAACAUAAAAUAGUAUAAAGCCUCUAAAAGCGGUAUCACAUGGAGCAUCAAUGACUUUAAGCAUGCGCUCAAUGAAAAAUAUUAAGAUUUAUAAACGAACUAACUAUCUAAUGUCAUACAGGGAAAAUUUCUUUAUCCUGCGCUCCAAGAAGGAAGGAGGCAAUAAAUAAUUUACAUAUAUACAGGAAUAACCUAGUAAAACAAGCUUAUUAGAGCAUCAUUUUAGAUGGGACUAAACUACUACACAAAUAGUUGAAGCAAGAAGAAAACAAAAACAACCUCCUAGAUAGCAAACAGUUAAGAAAUCCUAACUUUACCUUUUGAGUUAUAGUACUGGUUCUCUAUAUCCACAUCCUGCUCCUCAGGUUCCUCAUCAGAGUACUCAAAUCCAUAAUCCUCCAUAUCAGCAUCUAAUUUAUCAAAAAAAAUAAAUAAAUGAAAAAGACAUUUAAUUCAGGGGCAUGAGAACAUCAGAAAAAAGGAAAAACAAGGAAAAAUCCACAAGCACAAUUAAUUUCCACAUGAUGUCCACAUACAAAACAUCAGAUUAAACAACAAAGCAAAGCGAUAAAUAACAAAAACCAAAAAAAAAAAAAAAACAAACAAACAAACAAGCAACAACCAUAGAAAGAGCUACUUGUACACGAAGCAUGUCGUACAUCGAAUCGGAUCAAAACCGCAGCAUACAAUGGAAACCCUAGAACCAGGGGACGAAGAUUAAAACUGGUAGUAGUGAAAGGAUCGCUCACCGGAACCCAUGAUUCGCAGCUACUUCGACGUAAACAACCACGACAACGUGGGGUUCGUCGACAAUGGAGGGAUCUCGAGCUCCGAUCGCGCGUGGAUUAUUUAGGGCUUCUUCGCGAGGGUUUUGCGGGAGAGGAGAUGAGGAAGAGGGAGCAGAGGAAAUGGGGAGAAGCUCCGGAUGCUUCGACCGGGCAAAGAAGGGGGAAACGAGAGGCGAGUGUGUACGAACCUUUUUAGCGGAGGAGGUGAUGAAAGGGGCUUGGCUUUGGCUCGCAUCGCGAAUCGCGACCGAGCUCUAUCCGGUUCGGGUCCGGGCACGGUUGGUGCGGAUGUCAAUGGUUAACGAUAUCCAAAAGUUUAUCCUACUGAAUCCGAAUCGAACUGAUUUAACUCUUAUUUAUUUUAGUACAUAAUAUUAUAUUCUGUAUAUCGUAAUGAGUCGCUUACGAUAUAUUUUCUGUACUCCGAUCAAAAAAUAUAAAAAUAUAUUUUUAUAUACUUUUAUCUAGAUUGACCAUAAUAUCAAACUAAGAUAUAAAAAAUAAAAACAGGAUGAACAUAAAUUCGGCUACCAAUUUUAUCCAUAUCCGAUCUUAACUCAAUUUUAAAAAAAUAUAUAAACAUAAGAAUAAAAACCGAUUGAAAUAAAUAAGAAAAGAAAUAAAUUUUUAAGUACAAUUUUCUCUAACAAAUAAUAUUUUUUAAUUAAAUAUUUUUAUAUCAUUCAAUAUUUUUCUUCUACAGUGAAUAUUUAAGAUUAUCUCAAUUCUACCUACUAAUAUUUAGUUAUUAUGUUAACUUUUUUAUUGAUUGCAACAAUAAUCACACUUAAAUUUAAAUAUUUAUUUGUUCUGAAAUUUAGAGUUAAAAUUUGAUUAUAUAAUUUAAAGAAAUUUAUAAUUUUUUAAAUUAAAAUUAAAAUUUGAGUUUCCAUUAUGAAUUAAAUAUAAUUUUGGAUAUUAAAUUUGAAUUAAUAAUUAAAAAAUUAAUUAAAGUGGAUGAAGAUUAAAUUUUGUAUUUUGAUCUAAAUCUGAAUUAAAAUUUCUAUACUUUUAGUUUAAAACAUAUACUUAAAUUUAGCAAUUAAUUGAUAUAUUAUUUAUUGGACGGGUGACGCAAGUACAAUCCUAGUUCAUGAUUUACAAAAGCAAGAACGCAAUUAAAUAAGAAUCACGACUCAGCUAACAGUAGCAAUUCUUUUUCUGCAAAUAAAAAGUUAAAAGAGUUUUGAGUGAAAAGCAAAUGAUGAAGUAAUUCUCAAAGUUCAAUCUCCUCAGGGUAAGCUUAAAUCAUAGUAAUAACCAACAAGCAAGCACUCUUUCCAUCCUAAUCGAUCCAAUUCUCGGUUUCAUUUUCUGAUGUUACGUGCCUCUGCAUUAUAACUUACAGCCAAUAAUAGCCACAUUAAUUGACUCUCAGAAAGAUGUUUAAAAAAAAAAUUUAUUGUGGACAUUCCCUCAUUUCCAUUCCGGAGCAUCUUAAUCUUAAGUUUCCUGUUUAUCGAAAAAAAUCCCAUUAGAAACUUACAAGCACAUUCUUGUGCAGUACACAGAAGUAAGCAGAAAAAGUCAAUUAGUUACAAAAUGGAGAGGAGAUAAAUAGUACAAGAUCCUAGAAAGCUACAAGUAAAGACCCUUCACUCUGAUUUAGUCUUAGAUUCUUCAGUUCCAUUGUCCUUGCUCUUCUUGGGCUUAUUCAACAAGUUCACCACCCAAAUUCCCAAUAAAGUUGCCUGGAUCGGCGCCAACCAGUAUACAAACAGGUGCUCCAGCGUUAUGUGAUCGCCCCGCGCAUAGGCCCAACCUAAAGCCUACAGAAUAUGAGUUAAAAACAUUAGGUUAAAUUACAGAUUGUAUCUAGUAAGAAAUCUACUCCCCUGAGUUCAAGUGGUUUCCCAUAUUGUAUCUUAACUCUUACACAGGAAAGGUCAGGCAAAUUUGAUCUUUCUUUCUCUCUCUUAUGAAUUCGGAGAAUUUCACUAACUCAUAACUAAUAGCUGAUUGUUAUAACAUGAUAAAAUCACCAGAAGAGAAGUUUCACACUUUACAUCCAAGAUUGGUAAGAUUCCCAGAUCUAAAAAUAACUACAUGAACAAGAAACAAAUAGAUCACAUUCGGAACAAAGUAUGGAAAGGCGCGUACAGAGGCAGGGUUCAUGAUUCCUCCAGUUAAAUCAGAGCUAAGGAUAUGAAGUGUCAUCUUCGAAAUGCUUGAUAUCCAUGUUUUCAUGAAGAAACUUUUCAUUUCUUUCUUCGUCAGCAUCAGCGAAACCAUCACGACAACGAAUGUCGCUAGCCCUUCAGCUAACACUCCAUGAUGAAUACCGGCAUUCAAACGAGCCCCAUAACCUACUUUGGGGAAGACUUGUCGGAUAAGCUUUACGCCUACUAUUGAACCAAGAACCUGGUAGGCCAAAUUACAAAUGGAGUAAAUAGAAAUUCCAGUGAAGAAAGGAUUAGAAAUCACAAUCUAUGCAAGUAAUACUCUAUAAGGAGUUCGUUUCUCUUUGUAAGUUACUAAAUCACAGGACACAGCAUAAAUAACUAACCUUCAACGAUCUUGAUAAACAAAGCUCAGGUUUGGUCAAUGAUUAAUAAAUAGAAACCUUUUGAUAAGCAUCACAUUUAGCUUAAUUUUUCUACAAUUUAAUAAUGUUGUCUACAUGGCAACUGUCAACAUCAAGCUUCGAACUUAGAUUGUCCAAGACUAAUAAUCAUAUCAAUAUAGCCUUAACAAACCUAAAGCAAAAGAAGCCAACAACAACAUUCCACAGCUCACACAAGCCACAUUCCACAGCACACACAAGCCACAGUACUACAUUAGUUGGAUCCCUCUUGAUAAGCACUCUAAGAUCAAAAAAGAUAGGCUGUUGCAUAAGCGUGUUUAUUUCUUGCCUUAUUUUCUUUUUGCUUCUAGAACUGAAGACCAUGUUUUACAGGAGCCAAUACUCAUACUGCGGUUCUAGCAAAUGGAACCAAUAUUCAUACUGCGGAUCUGGCAAUCAAUUUGCCGGUUAUAUCUAAACCAGUAACAGUUGACACGUAAUGCCAGGUCUCGAUGAGUGAAAAAGGAGGAUUGCGUCAUGUGAAAUGCGUUCCAGGUUUCUCUCCCUUGUUUGCUUCUCAAGAGACACUAAAUUCCCCUCUUGUCGUGAUUCUCUCUCUAGCAGUGAUAAUAGCAGUAUCUGCAAAGCCCACCUGAUCGUAUCGCUCCAAGUCGGAUGUAAAAGUGGAUUGCAUCAUGUGAAACACGUUCCGGAUUUCUCUCCCUUGUUUGCUUCUCAAGAGACACUAAAUUCCCCUCUUGUCGUGAUUCUCUCUCUAGCAGUGAUAAUCGCAGGAUCUGCAAAGCCCACCUGAUUAUCGCUCCAAGUCGGAUCUAAAAGUGGAUUGUGUCAUGUGAAACAGGUUCUCGGUUUCUCCCCUUUGUUUGCUUCUCAAGGGACACUAAAUUCCCCUUUUGUCAUGAUUCUCUCUCUAGCAGUGAUAAUAGCAGGAUCUGCAAAGCCCACCUUAUCAUAUCGCUCCAAGUUGGAUCUAAAAGUGGAUUGUGUCAUGUGAAACAUGUUCUCAAUUUCCUCCCCUUCGUUUGCAAUUCAUAGAUUGAAAUGGCUAUAAUUACUCAAAUCCCAAAACAACUAGAGGCCUAAGAUAUGCCAACCAGUCGCAAACUUACCAUUGUUUCUAAACAAGAAAACAAUCACUACUGCAUCUUUAUUUCCUAUUUUUUCAUUUUACCUAAAGCAAUAGUUGGUGCGAAACAUGUUUACAAUUAAUAGCAGCUCAAAUAGUAAUUUUAAAACCAAAAACAAAAAGGAAAAAAAAAAAAGUAACGUCCUAAACCUUGUCAUAUCUUCUCUUUCUUUAUAUUCUUCUUUGUUAUUCUUUAACAAUGUUAAUGAAUUGUUUUCCAUUAACUAAAGCAUGAAAAGAUAUAUUUCUUUCUUUAUUUUUGUUACUUCUACUAAAAGGAGCUCAGCUCUAUUAUCCAAAAGAUCAAUUUUACGUUCUUACUGGAAAUGGGCUCAAGGUAUAUUUAACACUUAUGCUGAUGUGCACAAUUGAUUUAAAGGGCACGUAGAAUUAACAUAUGAGGUGAGAGAUAAAAACUUAAUCAAUUAGAAUAUAAUACGGAAAUUUAAGAGGUUAAAUGUUAAAGGUGCGAUCCAAACCCUCAAUAUAUCAACAAAUGAUCCAAAAUUAUAUUGCAUUUAACAGGGUCAAACUUUAGCCCCAUCAGGCUCCUCCUAAAUAAAUUUCAACUCAAGCUUGAAAUUAGUUUGUACCAAACCUGAAAAGAAGGCUCAAAAUGAGUUUGAACCGUAACAAGAAAACAUUCUAUAACAAAUCCACAAACUAAAAGCUAAUUUAUGAAAUACCAAACACUAUUAGGCAAAAUGAAGUUCGGGCAAAUGCAUGUUGACACAAAAUAUAUAUAUCAUAACAGACUCAUUAUAAUAUGUGCAGCUCCGAUCAUAUUUUCUCACCAUCGAAACACAAUUCCUCUCCAACUCCAAAUGGAACUUACAUUCUAUAACAAAUCCACAAAUAGAAAGCUAAUUUAUGAUAUACCAAAUUAAAUUAAGGGUCUAUUUGGGGCCGAGGGUCAUAUAAUGCUACUAAGGCAAAACAGAGUUGGAACGAAAGUACGACGCAGACAUAUGCUUUUCCAUUUUUCGGUGCGAAACAUUAUGUUAUCUACAGAAUCACAUUCUUUCGUACCGCACUUAACACAAUUUUUCUUUCUGCAAUCUCAAACGGAGCGUGAAACUUAAACCUGAGCGGGGAUCCUUGCGAAGGCGGCGAAGAGGUAGCCGUGGGAUUUGCCGAGGAAGGCGUAGACGAGGACGGUGAGGGGGUUGUAGGAGGCGCCGCCGGUGAGCUUCUCGAGCCCGGCGAAGACGAACAUGUAGAGGAGGGAGAGCCCCACCUUCAGGGCGUCGGCCCCGGCCCCCUGCGCGUGCGCCGGGCCCAACGCGCCGUAGACCAGCAGCUUCACCAGCGCCCCCGCCCACACCCACGCGAGCGCCAUCGCCGCGUCCGAGGCGACGAGCAGGAGUAAACGCCCCGCCCGGCCCAUGGACCUCCGCGGCGGCGACGGCAACCCCCGCGGCGGCGGCGGCGGCGGCGGCGAUGGCGUGUGGAUGGGGGAUUUAGGGCUCGAGAGAAUGGGCUUUUUUUUCCCCUUUUUUUUUUGUUUAAUAAGAGGUUUCCUGUGGGUGGAGGAGGAACCGGGAACGGUGCGCAUGAAAGGAGCCUUGUUUUUUAUAAUAUAAGAAUAAGAAUAAGAAUGUAACCCAAAUAGGGUAUACCCCUGUUUACUCAAAAAGAAAAAAAAGAAAAAAAAGAAUAAGAAUAAGAAUAAUGGGGUUAUUUUAGCAUCCAAACAAGCUUUGGGUAAGGCUUGAUUGGUAGUCCUUGUGACUUGAUGAAUGGUGUGAUACUUGUUGUUGGGGACUUAUAUGUAAAUUAUUAUAUACCAAAUAAUUGAUAAAAGAGUGAAAAAAUAUUAAUAUAUAGUAGUGGAUCUAGAUGUAAUAGGUUUUAGGCUCAGUGAAUUUUAUUAGAUUUGUCUUCUUUUUUUAAAAAAAAAAACUAUAGGCUCUGUCUGAAAUUGUGGUGCGAUCGAAUUAGUAGCUCUGGUGCAUCCGGAACAGUCAGGCCCGAAAAGGCAAAGCUUAAGUGCAUGAGUUCGAAUGAACUCCCGAGUGUCCAGGUUAAAAAAGCGUAUGGUCUCAUUGAGUCAGUUCGUAGUGACUUAUAAAAAAAAUUUGCACUCUCGAGUGACGCAGGUUAAAAAACGCAUGGUCUCAACGAGUGAAUUUGCAGUGAUUCAAAAAAAGAAAACUUAAAAGGGCAUAUCUUGAAGAUGAAUUUUUGAGUGGCAUAUAUUAAAGAGCGCAUGAUCUUGAUGAGUGAGUUCGUGGUCGCUUAUAAAAAAAGCUUUAAGGGCAGGGCUUAUAGAAGAGCCGAAAAAACAACUAGGUGUCGGAUUAAAUGCAUAGGCUUGGGUGAAUUCACGAAUCACGAGUAGUGCAGGUUAAAAUGCGCAUGGUUUUGAUGAGUAAAGAGUUGAUAUAUACUAGUAAGUUCAAAUCUAAUUGGCUUAAGUUUCUAGAUUGAACCAUAAUUUCAUAUAAUAAAAAAAGAUCUUUAGAAUUGGCUCGUAAUCUCGAAUAUCAUAACAAGAAGCUACAUACUUCUCACUCUUGUAAUAGAGUUCCGCCAUAUUUUUUUUUCCUUUUUUUUGUUGAGAGAUAGGUAGCAUGCUAUCCGUUUCGUUUAUUUUAUUUAGAAAUAAAUUUAGCUAGAAAAUGUGAAUCAACUAGGAUUUGAACUUAGGUCUCGAAUACCAACCACCAAUUUCUUUGCCACUUGCUCUAAGGACGAUCGGUAGUUCCGCCAUAUUUCAUAAACCUCAUUUAAUCCGUUGUGUAUAUCAAUCCGUUGUGUAUAUCUAUCCUUUUCCUUUACUAUUUAUUUUUUUUUAAAGAGAGAGCCCUGAACCACUAUUUUCAAUUUUCUUUUUCAGAUAAAGCUUAAUAUAUUCCGCAUUUCAAUUUUCAGUGGAAACUACACACACAUACAUAGUUGAUAAUUAAAAGUUUAAGAAGCACUCAAGCUGAUCUUGAUCUUGCAUUGUCGACACUCUCAUUCCUUUACACCAAAAUCGAAGCGCAAGAACACACUCAUUUUUAAGUCACUACCUUACUCAAUUUUGGUACAAGUUUUCUUCAGUAGAAAAGACUAUCAAAUUACAGAAGAUUAAGUAGGAGAUGUCUCCAAUUGACAAAGGAAUCAGUAAACAAGCUGCGGUUCGAAUUCAGCGAAGUCGACCGAUCCUGAUUCGAUCGGGGGCAUGAGAUAAGCCGCGAUGAUCUCGGAAACUAAGGCCGCAAUAAGCGGAAUCCUUUUCAGGUUCUUCACAAGGGGAAUGUCUUGGGUCUCCCCGACUGCUACCAGCUUCUGGUUGAUCUCGACCAUCCGAUCCAAUUUUCUCUUGAAUUCGGGGUUCUCGACGUCCAAGACGGCCGGGAAUAUCCUCGCAGUCGUGCGGUUGGUCUAAAAUCACAUCAAACUCGAUCAUAAAUUGAACAUAUAGGCAGAGUAUUGUAAGUUGUGCAACAAAGUUGAUAAAUUGGUCAUUUAUGAGGGAUUAAGUAACAAAUGAAGGGAAUUUACACAUGAAUUAGAAGAUGUUGUUACCUCAAUGAUGACAUGCAUGUCGAAUUCUUUGGUGUUGAGACCGAUUCCUUCGUAGAAAGCAGUACGCUGGCAAUCGUUAAGGUACAUCGUCACGUACACCUGCGAUUCGAAGAUUCUUCAGCAAUCGCGCGACUCUUCGAUAACAAAAUGACGCAAAGAAACACGUGCCGACGAAAAUUUGGAAAUAUUUUGUACCAAACCAACUUAAAGAGCAUUUUAAAGUUUGUAGACAACUCAUUGUCUUUUUAAAUUCACUACGAUUUUGCCGAAUGAAGUUGCAGAAUCGCGUGACUAUAGUGAAUUUACCGAGAGGCAGAAGAAUCGAGCCCACAGCUUUGCCUUCCAGUCGUUGAGGAACUGCGGCUGCGCUUUGAGCAGCGCGGAGAAGAAAUCGCCGUGCCGGUUCUCGUCCUGGCACCAGUUCUCGAAGUACUUGAAGAUCGGAUAGCAUUGGUACUCCGGGUUCUCCUUGAGGUGCCGAAAAAUGGUGAUGUACCUCCAGUAACCGAUCUUCUCGGACAGGUACGUCGCGUAGAAGAUGAACUUGGGCUUGAAGAAUGUGUACUUCCGAGCCUUCGUUAAGAAGCCCAAAUCCAGUGCCAAGUUGAAAUCAGAGAGACCCUUGUUCAGAAACCUGAAACAGAAGAAAGAUUUAAAAUUUGAGGUACAUCAGUUUGAUCUGUUUGAAGUAGUACGCUUUUCAAAUCAGAGUAAAAAUACAGCGAAAAGUAAGUGCAUAAUGCAUACCCUGCAUGCCUUGCUUCAUCCCUGGACAUGAGGGAGAAUAUCUCAGCUACUACUGGAUUGGUUUUCUGCCAUGUAAAUUUUUCAGUAAGCCGGUAAUCCGACAACAGUAAUUCCUCGAAAAAGAAAAAAAAAAUCCUCCGCGAAGGGCGCGGAAAUAAGAUUUAACGUCUAUUUUUGUAGUUCAGAAGCUCAUUCAUCUACACGCUCGGAAAAAAAAUUUAAAUUAGAAGCCCUACUAGUAGAAUGUAGUGUUUUUAUUUCAACAUUUAUUGCAAGAAGUUCAGACAAAUUAACAGAUACUGAAGUUUUAUAAUAGACGAGACAGAAGGCAAUAGAGAAUUAGAGGUCUGACGCGACUUAAACUCAGAACUUUUAUGUUAAAUAAUACGAAACAAACUGAUAGAAUGGUAUUUUAAAUAAUUUUAUACUUAACGAUUCGAACCUUUAACCUUCUUCCGAGCUCCUUGUAGAGCAAGAAGCCGGAGAAUUCGGCGGUGCACGACCUCUCGAGGAACUCGACGAAGAUCUCCCGGAGCGGGCCCUGCAUCUUGUCGGCGGCGGCCUUGAACUCCGGGUUGCGGACGAAGUGGGUCUGGUUGUAGUCCGUCUUGAACUCGUUGAGCAGCGCCUCGAACUCCGCCUGGUUCAGCUUCUUGUUGAUCUCCGUGUUGAACAGCCGCUCCAUCUCGUCGAAGUCCGUCGUGUAGAACCGCGGCGUCAGCAGCGUCUCCUUUAUCGACGUCUUCCCCGCCUUCUUCGGCUUCUGGGGGGCCAUAGCAGCGGCGGCGGCGGCAAUGCGGAAUUUGAGAUGAGGGUGCCUAACAACUGGUCUGCCGAAUGGACGGAUGGGAUUGACCGGCUUGAUCAGGGAGAGCUCGGCGGCCGCCGCCAUGUUUGCUUUCAGAUUCGUGCUCUGAAGAUUGGAAUUUUGGCCUUUGGGACCUUCACUUGGGAGUGGGAGGGGGGGUAUGGUAUAAGAUGUAAUAUGGUAAUUGAUAAUGAUGAUGAUGAUGAUUUUGGUGAUUGGGUGCCGCAUCCCGUGAAAUCUAUGUGCUCCAAUGAAGUGCUGACACGUGUAAGGGAAUCUUGAGGUGUACCUUCGUCCUGAGAGAGUGCAGUGUAAACUAGCGGUUCUGAUUGUGCCACGUGUGCUGUGCCAGGGCAUGGUGGUGUUGUAUGAUUCGUGUCCUGUUCAAGGAAAUUUUUUUUAAAAAACUGUGGAUUGGUCAUAGCGAAAAAAAAAAAAAAAAAAACUAUGGGCCUGUUCAAUUAAAUGAAAGAUAUAUCUUGAAUUUCACUGCUAUUUUAGGAAUAUAAAUAGAAAAUAAAUACUUGUUAGAGUAUAAGGAAAUUAGAGCCCCCUAUAACACUUCAGUAGUUGCAUUUUUCUAGUGUAUAAAUUCUUUUAAUCUCUAGUCAAUAUUAUUGCUUUGCAUGCUACACUGCUACCAACCGAUGCAUCGUCAAAUGCGAAAAAUAACAAAAUAACAAAAAAAACUAAUAGUAAGUUUUUCCUCUUUAGUACUUAUAUUUUGACUUAACUUUUGUUUGGACUUGCGAAGAGAUUGCGUUAAUAGCUAUGAGAAAGUACGAUAAAAAAAUAUUUUGUUUAUUUUAUAUUUAAUAUCCCGUUCUGUGUCCUAUUGAAAAACUAAGAAACAUAUUUUUAUAUGUGUUCAUCUUAACUCUAUUUUAUUUAUAAGCGUUAAAUGAGUCUCAGUACCUAACAUGUCCUUUGAAGCGCACAAAAAAAAAAAAAAAAAAAAAAANGGCUUUAUUUUGAGCUGAGCCCAAAACCCUAUUUACUAAAUUGGGGCCUAUAGGCCUUAAAUUAGGCCCAGUUUAGCCCAAUCCAUUAAUAAGAGUCGCUCAAUGUGUUACAGUGAGAGCUCCUCUACACUGUGAGCCAUUACCCUUCAACGGAUAAAAAGAGAAGCAGAGGCUUAUCCUUAAGCGAGCUCUCUCCCAUGGCGCUCCUCCACCUCCUCACUCCUCCCCUCUCCUUAACAUCACCCCCUUCUCCUUCUCCUCCUCGUCGUCGAGCUCUAUCCCUCGCCAUUUCCGCUAAUCUCUGUGAGUAAUUCUAAAAGCCAUCCUUUUCCGGCCUUGCUAAUUCCCACGAAGUUGUGCUGUGUUCAUGUUGUUGAUUCGGUUUGUGGUUUCUAUGAACUGGUCUUUGUUUAAAUUGCUGAAGGGGUCUACUUUUGUGAUCUUCUUGCUCAUUUAGGCAUUUCUACAAGCACCUUUGUUGCUUCUCUGGACAUUUUGUUGCCCCUUUAAUUUUUAGCUCAUUUUGGGUAUGUAUUUGUAGCAAUUUGUCUAUUAAUACUGAGAUUUUUUUUUUGGAGUGUAUGUUUCUUAUUGUUUUUGAUUACUUAUAACCUCUGCUUAGUUUUCUCUGUUCACUGCUGUAACACUCUCUUAUGUACAAGUCCUAAAAUUUCUUUAUUGUAACAUGAUCAUGUUCAGUAGACUCUGAACAACUCUGUGUGCUGUAUUCUGACAAUUCAUCCAUCUUUUUAGCCAUUUGAGAUGCUAAUUGAGGUAUUGUUUCAUUACCUGCAUUUUGAUUUACCAUUUAUCAAAACCAAAAAAGAUAUGAAAUUUGAUAUGAAAUUUGAUAUGAAAUUUUGUGAUUUGUCCUUACCUUUCUUUUAAUGUGACCUUGACAAAAUUUCAUACUUUAUUACUGACAAAUAUCCAUCUUUUAGUUAUUUCGGAUGUCGCUAAUCCUAUUGAGAAUUUUACCUUCUCUUCGACAAGAAAAAGAUGAACUUAUUAAGUGUUUUUAUUGUGUUUUUUUCAGACUUAAGAUUACAACAGAAUAACCCCGUUUUCAACCAAAGGUUCUCAAAUGGGAUCAGCAUUCCCACUCGCUUUUCUUAUGGCAAUGAGAGGUCGGUAGCUGUUCAUGCUUCUUCGGAGGCUGAUGCGGUAAAUGAAACCGAACCCGAAUCAGAGAAAUCAGAGGAAGCAGUAUCAGUCGAGAAUCUUCCUUUAGAAUCAAAACAGCAAAUGAUUCUUGAGCAAAGGUUGAAGAUGAAGCUGGCGAAGAAAUUAAGGCUUCGACGCAAGCGCCUCGUGCGGAAGCGAAGGCUCAGGAAGAAGGGCAGAUGGCCGCCUUCGAAGAUGAAGAAGUUGAAGAAUGUUUAAUCCGGAUUGGACCGAGUUGCAGGUUUGGUACUGCAUUGACGGCCCUCUUUUUUCGUCUGUGAUGUUUAUUCACCAAAAUGUUAUCUAAAAUUUUACUUCAUUUUACUUCAGAGUUGUAAGAGAUCCUUGGGAAAACCUUGUGAGAAUGUCAUUUGGUCUCAUAACUAAAUCUUCGACUGAACAUUGCAUAGAAAUUAUACGAUCUUUUCGUGCAAAUUAUCUCGACUUAAUUAGAAUUAUAGAUGCCACCAUACACGCUUGAUUCUCCUCUAUACUUUUUGUGAGAGGAAAUAAUUUAUACAUGCAAAGAGCAAUUUGUAACCAGAAUACCUUUUUGUUUAUUUUGUUCUUUUGCUAUUUUAUUGUCUCUAAAGAUUACAUUGUCCUUUGUUCGUACUUAUACUCAAAUAGCAGCCUUGUACCCAUUGAGAUUGAGCAGGAGAUCGAAUGAGGUGAGAGAAUACGGUGCAAUCGCAACAUCCAUCUUUGUUCCUGCAUUUGGAAGUGCACUGUGCACCGGCACCACCUACAUAAUUCAAUAGAGAGAUAUAAGAUACGAAAUAACCAACAAUCAAUGGAACAAGUAAUAAGAGAAGACGCAUGUCAAAGAAAAACAUUCAGCUAUAAUCAUCUUAAAUUAAAGCAUGACUACAGUCUCUUUUGCUUGUUGAAAACAUCGAAAGCUGGAAAGAAAAUCUAUGAUACUCAACCUUUUUUGGAUUCUGGAAAGAAUUCUCAUCUUGUGGCUGACUUGAUGUAAGCAGAGUAUUUAUUGAUCCCGAGGAGUCGACAUUAUUUUCUAAUCCAGUCACUGAGAUCUUCAAAUUCACAAGGUCGCCACCAUAAUUCACAAUCUGCAGAAAAAAACAAUUGUGUGGUUAUGGCAUAUCUAAUGAUCAUGUUAUUCAACAUUUAACUAACAAUCUGAUACAACACUUGAAAAGGUUCAAAUGCUAACAAAAUGAAAAACCAGAGUCGUAUUGGUUUAGAAAUCAAUAUCGUUUGUUUUGGCAUUGUUAUGUUCAUUAACCGAAGGUCGCCUUGCAGCAUUUAGCAUAAAAUUACCUUUAUUUUUAGGUAAGUAUUGUCAUUGUGUGAAUUCUGCCAAGUAAUUGCUGACGCAACCAAAGAAGUAUAAUUUCCAGCUUGAAUGGUGGAAGGGUGAAAGAUUGCACCGCUUGAGUGCUUAAAAAAAUGUUGCAUCCAGUAGCUUGGAGUUCCAUAUUGUUGCCGCGAGUUAAAGACGAUAGCAUCUGGAUUAAAUCUUGACCACAUAAAAACUUCGAAGUGUUAGGAGAAUAGCCCUUUUAUCUAAAUAAAUAACAUGAAAUAAACUGAUGAAUUAGACCUUAAUGAUUGGAAGAAAAUUAUAAGAACGAAUAUCAAAUUUUUAUAGAAAAGGGCUAAUAAUGAUGAAAAAGGAGCUUACUGGCGAUCAUUGUCAUUUACAAAGAGUGGAGCACAGCUUGCCAUCUCAACAACAUCACUGAAUAAUCAACCAUUGUUAGCAAACAGGAUAGAGUAAGUUGUAGGGAAAGGAAAAAAAAAAAAAUCUGCUUGACAAAUUUCAAGUUGAAUAUGAACAGGAAUUCUAAUAUAUCUUGGUUAUCUACCCAUUGUGAAACUAAAAUGUGGGAUGAGCAUUAAAUUUUAAAUUUUUGGAUUUUGAUGUUCAAACCAUCAUUAAACAGUACAAGUAAGAAAAACAUGAUGCUCACAUGCAAUAAUAAUGAAGAUAAACGGAAUCAAUUUUUACCACUAAGAGGAAAACUUUCAUGUGCAGUGACAAAGCAUCAGGAAAUGUAUAAUAAUAAAGCUAUUACAAAAAUAAUCAUCAAUCCAAGAUAAAUUGUUCUUAGAAAUCAUCCAAGAUAAAUUGUCGUAAAAAUCAAACCAAGAUAUAUUGUUCUUAAAAAUCAAUCCAAGAUAAAUUGUUCUUAACACCAAAUAAGCAAAUUAACAGUCACGCUCACAUUGACAUAUACAGUUACAACCAGAAUUUUUGAGAUUUCAGUGAUGAAGCUAAGUUAUUAAAGGACCUGUUUCUUUCGAUUCCAAUAAGAAAUCCUGCUUCUGCUAAUGCUGCGACAAGUGUUCCUUUGCCAGCAUCAUUUCCGGUCACAGCAUAUUCACUGACAAAUGCCUGUUAAAAUAUCAUAGUAAGAGGACCUUCCAAAGUCAUUUUCAGUCAUAAUCAAAAGUGCGAGUCUGCGAGAUAAAACAACAAUAUGAUUAAAGAUAUGUAUCGAACAGCAUCAUACCUUGGGCCCAUUGCGUGUUGUCCGGUCAAAUUCAUGAUUCCUGGAAAACAUGUCGCCAGAAGAGGUAUAAACCUGUCAUUAGAAAUGCAGCACCUUUGUGAUGAGGUUAGGAAGUACUGUCGAGUAGUAGGUUCGUAAAACUGUAAAAGGAUAUACUAAUCAAUAGGAUAACAAUUCUUAGUUCUUACAUGAAUAUCAUAUAGAUCAGCAGGAUGGUUUAACGGUUGAAAAGACCCAUCACAGUUUGUAACAAUCUUGAUGUCUGGAUAGGCAGCUUUUAUUGCAGAGUAGAACUUCAAGUAGUUUUCUGUUCAAUAGCAAAUUAAGAUGAGCCAAGUGGUUCUUGAUGUAAUAGGUUGCAUGUAGUAUAUUUGAGAAUAUCUCCCAAAGAGAAUCACAAAAAACUCAAUAAUAUUCCUGUCAGUAACAAGUCAGGAUACUUGAACAGUUGAACUGUUCCUCCUUUCAACUAUCAACAGAUCUUACAGGGCAGCCGAAAAUACCUCCUAUGUAAAACAACAAAGUCCCAUAGAGUCCUGGUUCCCAGAUUUUGUUAGUUACACAUAUUACAUACAUAUAUAUGCAAACAAUCUAGUCCUAACAUCACAAGACAUUUGACUAAUAUCAAUAAAAGUGAUCAGCAACCUAUAGACAGCGUGAAUGAGUUCUCAUCUAUUUUGUCCUGAAUUUAUACUUGAUCAACUUUAAACUUAGUAGUUUAGUCAUAACACUGUACUAUGCAAAGUUGAGUGUACAUAAUACUCUUCUUCCUAACAAAACCUAUCACUAUGCAUUGCAUGUGCUCAACUUACAGUAGUCAUGCAAAAAAAAAAAAGAGAGAGCAAAAUGCGUACCUAUGUAUUGUUUCUUCCAACAAUCCUGAUUCCCUAAUGAAACAUAAUUUAGCUGAAAGGGUUCUGGAUGACCCAUUGUUGCACGGAUGGAACCCCAUUGAGACUUGGGAUCUCCCCGAGCAAACUCAAUACCAUCAAGAAUAUUCUGGAAUAGUGAGGAAAAUAAGGAGCUAUUAAUUUGCACUAGAUAUCACAUGCAUAGUAGCACUAUUUUAGAAAUGUGAAGCCUAAUACAUUUAACUUUCAGCUACCAAAGCUUCACUGUAAAAUCAGGGAGUCACUAGACGCAUAUGCUAAGAUACUUCCAAAUCAUGAGAAGGAUGAGGGAAGAAAACUAAACCCAUAAUCCUAGGAUACAUAUUUAGAGAACCGAUUAAUAUUAACUAAAAAGACUAUACAUUCCUGUCGACAUUACAAACUUGUCCAUAUGCUAGUGGCUGAAAAUUUAUGUUGUUAAUAGCUUAUCAAUGGCAAGUGAUUAAUUAAUCAGCAAAAACAUGCCUGUACGAAGCCUGAGAUGACUGAAGGGCUAACUUGAUCAUUGUGACUGAUUCCUGUUACAUCAAAAAAGGUUUGGAUGAAAUUUUUUUGAAAUUUGUUUAAGGUCUAAUUCUGUUUCCAUGAGAAUAGCUCUUUUGAGGAGAAAAGUUGUUACCACUAUUGGCUACCCAUACUGGAGAAGCACCUAGGUCCUCUGCUAGCUGCAGUAAGUCAACACCGAUAACCAAAUCAGCGGAGUUACUGAGAUUGAAAUGGUUUGUACCUUAAGAAAUUUCUUUAUUCAAAUAAAAACAAGAUACCCACUUGAAGGAACUCAAAGAAACCAAGUCCAUCAUCUGUCCAGUACUUCCAUACAUCAUUAAAAUGACCGGGCCGCUCUUCCCAUGGGCCCACGGUUUCACUCCACCGGAACGCAUUCCUCAGCCAUUCGCCUUCAACAUAAGAACCACCUAAACCACAAAAUAGCCGACAAACCAACAUUAGUAGUCUCUUAUCAUAUCACUAAUGUUGCUAAAUGAACGGCAGAAACAAUGUUCAUGUUCAAACAACUUAUUAGCUAAUAGUUGUUCGAACAGCUUAUUUGUUAAUAUUCCUUAACAGGGCUUUUAGUGAAAUCAGAUUUCCCAACAGAUGUAUUGCUCUUAUUAAGCCAUAAAUUCAGCCACUCUUAUUACCAAACCAGGGCAAUAUAUGAGAAAUUUCAGACAUUGUCAACCAAAUGUACUGUUACAAUAUAUGCACUAUUUUUCCACCACAAGCUACAUAGCUAGAAACAGGUCCUGAUAUAGUUUUUUAUUUUGACUUGUUAUCCCUAUGGGUGUUGAGUUUGAAUGCUAAGGCAGAAAAGUAGUCAGAGAGCAAAUUUCAUAUGAACCUGGGUAUCUGAGAAAUCGAGGUUUUAGAUUUGCGAGCAUUGAAGCCAGCCCUUUCCUAAAGCCAUCCCCCUGUAGAAAUUAAUGACGUAAAGCAUCAUAAUUAAUGCUGCACAUAUGUCAUAAGAGAACCAAAAGACAUUAGUUUGAUCAUGGAUCAGUUUAUUUAAUGUCAUUUGAUCGAAUGGUAGAUUACAUCCAAAACCUCUUAUUUUCAAUCACUAAACAUUAGGAAUGUUGCAGGCCAUUCAACAGGACUCAAAUCUGAAGCUAAAAUGAGCUUACUUCUUUAAACUCUUUAAUGCUCCAAGAAAAUACGAAAAUGGCCCAUCAAUUAUUUGAAGGAUUGAUCAUAUAGUGUCCCUAGAUUAUGCGUGAACCAAAAUAUGCAAUCAAUGAUUACCUAUAUACAAGUAUCCAAGAAAUCCAGCAACAUCUCAACAUAGUCAUUUGGCAAUAACCAGGAUCAUGAACUAAAUUUUAACUACUAAAAAGGAAUGCUGUUAAGGUAUUCCUUACCAGCUGCUCUCGAUGAGAUCUAAGAAUCUAAUGAUGCAGCAGGAGAAAUCAAAAAAUAAAGAAAUAAAUUAUACCAUGUAUGUGUCUAAUGGCAGAACCGACACUUGAUCGACCCAAAUUGUCCCACUCUCAGUGGUCGUCAACUGAAGUCUUGAAUUGGCAUUUGUUCCUCUGGAUUUCAACAGAAAUUCCAUCUUGGUCCAGUUUGAGAGUUCUGAGCUCUCAGCUCUACAAAAAAUAAAUUUGUCAAUUGCUAUAAUAGAAAGAAGCGAAACAACAGGAAUGACGGUAUUUUAAAUUUAACCUCUCAAGUUAUUAGACCCCAAAUAAUGCUUACAUUAUAUUAUGCGUAGCCAGAUUUUGUCGUCCGUCGGAGCUCACCAGCGAAACUGACAAUUUCACCGAGUCAAAUGACUUAAUAUGCAGGAUCACCUUGUAGGCUUUCCCUCGUUCAAUAUUCUAAAUUGCCACAAUAGAAAAUUGAAAAUUAGUGCCUACAAAUAGAAAUUUUAAACAGAUCUUAGACCAUUACAAUUUAGAAAAAAAUCCAAGUAAAAUUACCUUGUAAAUACAUAAUUAAGAGAUAGCAAAAAAGAUGGAAUCAGCAACAACUUAAUGACUAGGUAUCAAGUAGAUAUUUGGGAUCAAGAUAUUUCAGAUAAUUAUUGCAAGUACAUAUCAUGCAAAAAAAACAAAAGAUAUUUACAUAGUAAAUUAGUUGCUUAUUAGAAGAUAGAUAACAUAAUGCCAUACCAUGCCCCAGAAACCAGGAUUAUAUACACCAACACCUCCAGCAGGACAGGUGUUGGAUCCUUUAUCGUCGCAAAGUACUUCCAUCCGAAGUGCCACCUUAUUGCGGGCAAAACAAGAUGUACGAUCGGUCGAUACAAUUAUUUGUGAUUCAUUGCCUAUUAUGACCCAUGGAUCAAUAUUUGAUGGAGUAUUCGGACCUCCAGCUUCAAAACCUGCAAGAUAAAUCGGCAGUUUUUUAGAAGAGGUCAAAUAUAUACAUAAUCAGAAGUUGGUUGAUAAAUGUAUCCACUCUGGAACAAAAUGACAAGAACAAUAAAAAUACAAUGUCACUUGUCACUGAUCAUUGGUUGCUUAUUCACGAAAAUAAAGAUGUUCAAAUAAAACUACUAAUAUCAGCUAAAGGAUUUAGUUUAAGAUAAAUCAAUUGGAUCAUCAGAUAUUUAAUGAUCCUUACCUCUAUUACUUACAAGCUCUGCCCAUAAUCCACCAGCUCCUGCAUGGUUGAUCUCCUAUAAUGGAGUUAAUAAGUGAUCAAUAAUCUUUCACUGAGCAGUCCACAGCAUAAAGAGGGCUAAACAAGAAAAAACAAUAAAUUUUUUGCUCAUAACUAUUAAAGCAUUCCUCAGAUAAAACUUCACCAACAAAAACAUGAAGAUAGAAACAUACAGAACUUGAACUAUAAACCAUUUAGAGUCGAAUACCCGAACUUUUAAAAUUUUUGAUUUUACCACAUGAUCUUUCAAUGCUUGAUUUGACUAAGUCAACAACAAUUUUAAAGUUUGAAUGUGGUGUUCAUCUUUACGAGUUUAGUUAGUAUACUUAUAUGUAAUUCUCAAAUCAAACAAAUUGAAAGAUCAGACAGCAAAAUCAAAAUUUUGAAAGAUUAAAUAGUCGACUCUAAAUGAUUGAUAGUCCGUGUUACAUUAAAAUCAACCAAAAUAAGGGAAUAAACGGAAACCCAAACUAAUCGAUACCCGAGCGAAAGUCCAUCAAUCACCAUGCAAGUCACAAUUAAGAUUCAAAAAUGCGUAAAUUUCGUUGAGAAAUUAGAAUAACAUAAUUGACAUAAGAAAUGAUUCAAAGAACACUUAUCUCACCUCAAAAAAGAUACCGAACAAGUUGUCGGGCAUCUUCCGGCCCGAUUGAGAUGAAGCAUCAACAAGCAGAAGAGCAUUUUGGGUUGCAGUGAUCCCAUUACCCGCAAAUGCUUGAUAAAAAGCAUAGAAAAUAUACAGUGUGUGUAACAAAGCUCCGCAAUAUUUUGAACGGAGACCCAUUUUUUUCCGAAUUAAUUCGAGAACACAAUAUUAACUGCAAAAUGAUACCAAAAAAAAUUCCUAAAUUAAAUUCAAGAGCAUAGAAAUAUUAGCACAAGUCCUUUACAUUCAAUUGUUUCAAUUUAAGUUAUCCAUACUAUAUAAAUCAGAAAUUUUACUAAAUUUAGUGACAAAUAAGUAAAUUUCAAUGAUUCGAUUCGAAUAACUAAAACGAUUCAAAUCAAAAUAACUAAAACUAAAAUAUGUGCCAAAAAGCUGAGGAGCGCAUUACGAAACUGGCUACAGUUGAGGGAGUCUCUUACAAUUUUCACCUACAUACCUGCAAAGUGUGUGGAGAACAACAAAUAGCAUAUCCGAGUUAUCCAACCACUACUUCAAUGCGAGAACAAUGGAGGAUCUCGAUCGAGAUAUCUAGGGUUCUGGGCUCCAACGUCGUUGUCGCGGGGGUCGACGAAGAAGACGAGGUCUGAUCCGUUCGAUCAUCAUCCAACGGCUCGGGGGCGAUCUCCUCGCCAUACACUCCUCGUUGCGUCGCUUCUACUCCUCCGUCUCUAUGGCCUUUGCUUAUCCGGUAACAUAACAAUAACGAUGACAUAAUCGCGCGUGGUUUUGGUGUGAGUCGAGUAUGGAAUCUCUUUUACUGUGGUGUCUCACGGGGCGAUCUAGACCGUACAAUUGAUGGAGGGAACGCGGAUGGAAGGUUCGGAUUGGGUAAAAAUGUAUGGAGACCCCUCAACUAUAGACAAUUCUGAAAUAGGACCUCCUCAACUGUAAUGUAAUAUUUUUAUAAUUGAGAUCACUCAAAACUUUUGAUUGUUUAUAAUUGAAUGAGUUUAAACCCAAAUUAAUUGAUAAUUUCAACAAAAAGUUUAACUCAAUUAACUAAAAUAAUUUAAAGUUGAGAGGUUAAUUUCAAAAUGGGCUAUAAAUUGAGGGGUCUCUUUACAUUUUUACUUUCUUUUUUUAAAAAAAAAAUUUGCUUGGUCUUAAUUGUGAUUGGAAGGGAAGCAAUGAUUGUUAAGAGAUUUUGCUUCGUCGGCGUGUAGAGAUUAAUUAAAGGGUGAGUACACGUCAGCAUGGAUAAUAUAAAAGAGUGAGUCGCACCAAAACUAGGUCGUGGCAAUUGCCCUGUUGCUAGAACAUGGUUUGCCACAUCAUCUUGUGGGCCGAGCCAGUUAAAAAGCGCCACACGCUGUGGUGAAAUUGCUGCAAGCAACCGGUGCACCACGUCAUCCAUGCUAACCGUUAAAAGAGUUUUCAAGUUGAAAAAUAAUAAAAUAACAUAAUUUUAAAGUGGUGGGAUGGUUCUGGGCGCACGGCUGACGUGGUGCACCAGGUGCAGCUCUACCCCCUUGUUUGUGAUUGGUUUCUUGGUCAAAAUAGAAAAAAAAAUUUGUAAAUUUUAGAAACAUAUAUUAUCCCCCUGAGUUUUAAAGUACUUAAAAAAAAAAAAAACUAGAAGUUUUUUCUAUUCUGAAAAAAUAUUUAUUAAAUUUUUGAUAAACUUCAGAUGCCAUCCUUGUAGUUUCGCACUUUCUCACUUUAGUAUCAUGUGGUUUAAAGUGUAUCAAGUUAGUGUCCUAUGAUUUUAUUUUUAUAUUUUCGGCAGUUUCUCCGUUAAUAUUUCGUUAAAUUAUAAACAAAAAACUUCAAAUACUCCAUCUAAAUUUAUCGAAUAUUCACUUUAGUAUCCAUAGUUUUAACUUUGUCACUGAUUUAAUGAAAAAAAUUAGUGGAAUCGAUAAUAAAGAGAUAAAAAUAAAACUACAUGAUACUAAAUUGAUACACUUUAAAUUACGGUAUACUAAAGUGAGAAAGCGUGAAACCGUAUGGCGUGAAACCAUAUGGAUGGUAUUUGAAGUUUUUCCAUAUAUUUUCUAACAGAUAUUUGACGACUUUUUUUUGGAUGCAUUAAUAACUUGCCCAAUAUUUUUCUCUAAUUUACACAAGAACCUUGUAAUAUAUGGUAGAUGAGAAUUGCGAUAAAAUGUUUUGAAUAAAAUGUUAUAAUCCACAUUCAAUUUUAAACAAACAGCAAGUGCAAUAUACAAAAGAGAGAAGCAAAUUACAUGAAAACUAGCAAAAACCUCAGGUGCCCAAAAUAUAUUAUACAUUCUACGUACCAUUUACAUAAUUUCCGCCUAAAACCUUUAAAAAAACGAAAUAUGACUACACAUAUUCCUCCAAAGCUACAUAAAUAGGAGAAAUGCGGCAUCAUCGCAACAAUAUCUACUCCCUUGAGUGUGCUCGAGGCGGUAACAGAGUAGUAUCUUUAGAUUGCUUAAGAUCUUCUAAUACUUGUAGGACCUCACUCAUGCUCGGCCUGUUCUUCGGAUCACUGUGUAAGCACUGCAACGCAAGCGACGCGAUCGCCUGCGCCUCUCUCUUCGAGUAUUGACCUUCGAGCCUCGUGUCCAUGAUUCUGAAUAUUUUCCUUCUCUCGUUCAAAUACGGCUUAGCCCAGUCCACAAGUGUCUCUUCGGUGGAUCCUCGAUCUUCAUCCAGUGCUCGCCUUCCGGAUAACAGUUCUAAUAGCACUACACCGAAGCUGUAUAUGUCACUCUUCACGGAUAAGUGGCCUAGCAGAAAAAUGUAAACAUUGUCAGAAAAAAAGUUAUCACUAACCGACCCUGUUCAUCGAAAUCGGACCGUGCUCUGAGGGGCGGAAAAAAGAACUCUCGAACUGAACACUACUAUCCUAUUCCUGGAAUUUCAUCUCUGACGUAAUGUGUCACCACCUCAACUUGAAUACAUUCUAAAUAUAUAACAGCGAACAUAAAAUUCAUAUUUAUCGGCGUUGUAUAAAUUGAGGAUGAGUCGGAGUAUAACCUGUAGCAAUAUAUUCUGGAGCCGCAUAGCCACGGGUUCCGACAACCCGAGUUGAAACAUGCGACUUAUCUCCAGUAGGACCAUUUCUAGCUAGGCCAAAAUCUGACAGUUUUGCUCUGAAAUCCUGUAGAAUUACUUUCUAUGUCAGUUUUAACAGAAUUUCAAUAUGUCAAGUGAAUUAUCUGCAAGUCUCCGAAACUGUACCGAAUCAAGAAGGACAUUUGAGGACUUUAAAUCGCGGAAGAUAACUUGAGUAUCCAGGCGAUGUAAGAAUGAUAGCCCUCGAGCGACGUCGGUGGCGAUGUUGACCCGCAUAGCCCAAGAAACAGGUUGCACCCCUCCUGUCAUAGACGAACCAAACAAUCAAAUUCAUUUAGUUUAAAAGAUGUUGGAAGCGUCUUUUGCGCAUGGACCCACUCCUACUUUGUUGAAAAUAGAACAAAUUAAUGAAGAACUUUCAGAUUUUCUAGUUGAGUAUGUUUAUUGUUGUAUGCCAGUUUCAGGACAAAUUCAACUAAAAAAACAAUAUAAGAUGUUUAAGGUAAACAAAUUUAAGUAAUCUCAUUGAAGCAACGAAAAUUCAAGUAUAAAGUUAGUUUCGUGUAGAUAUAGGCGUAUCUUAAUCCUAUCUAUCUCUCUCAGGAGAGAUUCAAAUAGUACAAAAUCUUUUGCCCUCUUCAUAGCACUAUUUGUAGAGAUAGAAAAGAGGGAGAGACGGUGAAGAAGAGGUUCGAAUGCAAGAGCGAACAUUAACAUACUUCUGAAGAGAUGAUUCUCCAAGCUUCCUCGUUGCAUGUACUCAUACACUAGUAGCUUGUUGUCAGCCUCCGAGCAGUAUCCUACGAGCUUUACGAGAUUUUCAUGGCGAAGCUGGCCCAAAUAGGUAACUUCGGCCUGUGAGUACAAUUGAAGGGGUAAAGUAAGGUGCGAAGUUCACCAAUUAACGAGAAAAAAAGGAAAGAGAAAAAAGAUAAAAGAUAUACCAGCCAUUCUUUAUGCCCUUGAAAGCUUUCCCUUUUGAGUUUCUUAAUGGCGACUACAAUCCCUGCCCCAGGCCUCGUAGGGGCCAAGGUGUUCUCAUCAAUCCAUCCUUUAUAUACACAGCCGAACCCUCCUUCCCCGAGAUAUGAAUUCGAACCGAAGUUCUUUGUGGCCGACUUGAGCUCAAUCAGGCUGAAUGAUUUCACGCUAACUGCCGGCGAUGCCUCACUUUUGAAUGACGGAAGAGAACUGACCGAACUUUUGUGAGUUGUCUUGCUCGAACUCGUCGAGUUGGAAGUAGUAUUGCUAGGCAGCGAAGUUUCUGCAGGUGAGAGACAUAGAAUGGAGUUUUUCUUAGGCUUCAUAAAUCAUAUUAGAACAGGAAAAGUGAAAGUUUCUGAAUACAAAUCCGACAAUGACAGAUCCUGCAAAUGAUUUCGAAUAUAAAUCCGACAAUGAAGACAUAAUUACAGAAAAAGAAUACAGUAUGUUAUUAUUAUCAUCAGUUCAUCUAUUUGGUCAUUUUCUCGGCCCUUAAGUUGCAGCUCAGAAAAAAGUCGAACAUGUUAAACAAAACUCGCAAUUUUGCCGCACUUCUUUGUCAGUUUCAUAAGAACUCAGUUCAUCUAACAUUUACUACAAUAACCGUGUAUUCUUUGCUUAUAAUCCGAGCAAACUCAAUGCAACACUGUUUGGUAUACUCGACUUAACUUCCACAUUAAGCGAAAAUGAAAACGUAGCCGCGUCGCCUCACUAAUACUACCAAAAGGAUAGCAUGCCCUUAUCCUCAUCAAUUCUUAUUCAACGUAGCAUCACAAACCAUAAUUUCCGCUAUAUUACUUCUUCACUACUACUUCCUCAUUUAUUUCAUUUAUAUCACUUUAUUCUAAUAUACAAAAACACAACAUCUCAUCAGACUCAUCUAGAUAAAUAAAGUGCGAAAAACUACUUCAAUAGAAUCAAAAUAUUAAUCGUUGCGCCGUUAUGAGUAUUUCAUUUAUUCUUUAAUCAAAUUUUGCAACGAGUACUUUUUUUUUUUUUGAGAAAUGAGUACUUAAAUUAUUCUCUUCUCUGUACUUUCGCGACAUUUUCUAAAGAAAUAAAAGAACAACAAUUACAGGGGAAAAUUUCGAAAUUUCUAAUUUCUCUCGAACUUCAUCUCAUUAUUCUUGCUACAUGAACUCGUUCCGUGCUAAUAAUAUAGAUUCUUAAAUUGGGUGAUUAACACCUCACAUUGAGUUAAUAGUUGAAGAGGCCAAAAAAAACGAAAAAAGGAGCAAUUUUUACUCAAUUUCUCAGCUUUGCAAUUCAAAAUUUUGUUUCUUCACAACAACAAAUCAAUGGAAAAAAAAAAAGAGAAAACAACAUACAAAAUACUAAUUAGAGCACAUCUACAAAAUUAACCAAAAUUCACAACUUCAAUACCCCAAAAAAAAAAAAAACUCGGCGAAAAUGAAGGGGAGUAGAAAAAUUCGGUUUUAAAAUUUCUCCAUCAUCAAUCGUUGAACAAAAAGAUUAAUAAAAAACCCAUAAGCGUAUUGGUAACCAUGAAAUUAUCAAAUGGGUUCGCACAACAACUACCUCGUACAAAUCCUCUACUCAAAACACAAAUGAAAAUUUUUUUUUUUUUUAAACCCUCAGAAAAUCAUGUAAAAAAACAAUUCCUUACUCGAGGCCAAAGGAGAAGAAGCAUUGGCGCAUUUCGCAGAGCUCCCACACAAAUUCCCCAUGUGACCAAAUCCCCAAUCCCUCUCUCUCUCUCUCUCUCUCUCUCUCUCUCUCAAUCCAAUUCUCUUAAAAGGAAAUACAAAGAGAGCAGGGAAAAAAAGAAUUGUAGGUAAAAAUGAAGCAUAACCCUUCAACUACAGUGAUUUUGGAAGCAAGGGCCUCGGCUUGUAUUUUGUUUUAUUUCACUAUGAUCCCUCAACUUCUAUUUUUUUUAAUUAAGUUUUUAUUAUUAGUUCUUAACUGUUAAUUCACCCAUUUUUUUAUUAAAAUAUAAUUAAAUUUUUAAAAUUUGAACUAUUAAUUUCUUAUCAAAUCUACUUAGUUCCAAAAAGAAAGAAAUUUGGGGGUGUCUUUCUCGGAAUAGACUAUAGAUUAGGGGUGUCUAUACAUUUUCACAAAAGAGUGUUAAAAAAGAUCUUCUUUUUUGACCAUUAUCGCUCAGUCAAAGACGUAUCCACCCUUUUCAUACAUAAGAGUCGUUUUUUUAUCUCGUUUUUUUUUACGCAAAUUCCACAAAAUUUAGGGGCUAAGAAAUGAGAAAUUUAUUAAACUUGACCCAUUCAAUUAUUCAAACUGUUUUAUAAAAACGGCGUACGCAUUUGGGAAUCCAAAGAGAAUUGAAAUUUUCCAUUAAAUUUCAUUUUUUUUUUUGUAAAUUUUAUAAAUAGAGUAUUCAAAUUGUGGCCAAGCUAUUAUUCAAGUUUGUUUACAAUAUAAAUAUAUAAAACAAAUAUAUAUUAUUAAGAGUGUGUAUUUUUUAUGUGUUAAUUGCAUACAGCUUCCUAUAAACAUAUCGAAUAGUAAAUAUAUUUCUACGAAGUUUAAUUUUUCAUAUUUAUCUCUACAAAAAUUUAAUAAUAUUUAUAUUUAUCACUCUGAUUUGCUACCAUUAGAGUACUAUUUUUUUUAAUAGAAGAUAAAAAAAAUUAACAUUUUUACCAUUACAAAUAUAUUCUUCCAAAAACUCCAACUGUUAGAAUUAUACAGAAAUAUUCUCUUAAAAAUUUUUAACAGUCAUUUUUUAUACCAUUACAAAUAAUAGAGGAUAAAAAGAUCAAUUUACCUAAUUCACUAAUUAGAAUUAAGUAUUUUACCUAUAAUUAACUAUAUUUUUCUAAAAGAUCAUAAUACCAAGUGUCUAUUUAAAAAUAUUAAAACUUUUGAAGAGAUAAAUAUGAAAAGUUAAAUUUUGUAGAGUGUUCAAUUUGUUUACUUUUAUAUAAUAAAAUGUCAAAAAGAAAUAAUAAGGUACUAAAUUUGUCAUAAUUUACUGCAAUAUAAGAUACUAAAUUUUGCUUUUCAACUUGGGGGAGAGAAAUUUGAAAUUUCUUUUUCUUCGUUAAUGUACGAAGUUUCCUAAUCUGUUUCCUAAGGAAUAAAAAAUUAUAAAUUUUGUAACUAAAAAGUUGGGCAAGGGAUUAGAAUGGGGAAGUGUUGGGUAUUUCUUUUCUUAUCUUAAGUUGACAAAAGCGCUUCUUUUGACCAACUUUCGCUUGUUAAGUCAACAACGUCGUUAGCAGUUUAAUGAUGUCCAAAUUCUAAUGUUUGUUGUUAUUCACAACAUUUUAAACAUUGGUUUUUACAGUGAUCUAAAAAUAUUAUUAGGUUACGUCAACAUAACAUCAUAAAUAUUUAAUAAUUAUUAUUUUUAUUAUUAUUUUAAUAUCAUAUCUAAUUAUGAAAUACUGAUUUUUUUAGACUAAAUUAAGUAGAUACAAAAUUUUUAAGUUUUAUUUUUUAUAACAGAAAAUAAAAUUAGCAAAAAUCAAUCGUAAAUAAAAUAAUUAAGUAUACUAAAUGAACAAAAAAAGGUAAAAAUAAAAAUAAAAUUCAUUUGAUUUGGUGAGAUCUAUACCGGUUUGGUGGUUGAACCGUCGGAUCGAACGAUACAGAGUGAAUUUUUUAAUUUAUCCGGUUAAAGGGAUUGAACCAAACCGUUUUAUUAAUUGAUUCCGGUUGGCCCAAUGGAAGCGGCCAAUUUGAGCUGAAUUUUAAAACAUUGAAUAUUCAAUAUGAUAUUAAAAUUUAGAUUUAAAUAUUUUUAGGUUAAAGAGUGUUUAAAAUUUGAAGGCAAGUAGGGACAUCCCAUCACUUGUACGGCAUUCUCAAUUAAAUUUUUUUUAUUGAGAUCAAUUUAAUUUUUUAAAUUUAAGUUGUUUUAGUUAGUUAAGUCGGUAUUAUUGUAAACUGCAUGGAUCGUUCGUCAUACGCUAUCAAUAAAUAAGCACGAAAGAAUAACAAAAUUCGAACAAACGGUAAGAAAAAAAAUAUAGAAAAAAAAGACCAAGAUUUGUGCGGUUCAGCAAUUGCCUACGUCCACGAGACAGCGAGAAAAAUAUAUUCCAUUAUAUGAAAAAAUAGAAAAUACAAACUUACAUGCUGUGCCUUCUCCGAAUAAAAAAUUAAAAGCCUUACGGUGAAUUUUAACUUUCUCUUGUUCCACUGCAAAUUUCAGAAAAAUACUGAAAAUUUUUUUUCGUAAAAAUAAGAAGAACAAAUUAAAAAAUAUAGAAAACUCUGAUCAAAUCCUUUAUGCUCUUGCAUCGAUGGAUCCGACAUGUUCAGAAAAUUGGUCGAGAAUCGUCGCUUUGCUGCCGACUUCAAUCAGUCGUCGCAUGCGUGUCGUGCACCUCCUUGCUGCUGCCGUACUGCCGGGCCAACAACCUUGAUUAAUUGGCCUUGCACGUGACGCUAAUUAAUUGGCCUCAAUGUUAUAUCCGUACGCAAUCAUAUAUACGAGAAAGUUUAUAUUAUAUUCCAAAAGUUCGAGCUGUUAGAAAUACGCAACUAAUUCACUUAAAGUGUACAGAUACAGCGCUCAUGGGUCUUAAUUGUGACUCGACCCACGCGGCCUUACACCACCUCGAACAUGACUCGGCCUACCCAACCUCAUGUCAUUUCGAACGUGACUCGGCCCAACAUGACCUCCCGCCACAGGGCAGGAUGCUGGCCCAUUUAAACCAACAAUCCUCCCUCCAGCAUCUACACACAUUUGCAGCAUGUGGGAAUCGAACCCGUGACCUCUGGCUCUGAUACCACUUGUCAGAUCGUUGGCGUUAACUAUUAAUCUCAAAAGCUCGAGCUGUUAGAAAUACGCAAUCAAUUCACUUAAAGCGUACAGAUACAGUGCCCACGGAUUUCAAUUGUGACUCGGCCCACGCGGCCUUAUGCCACUUCGAAUAUGACUCGGCCUAUCCAACCUCAUGUCAUUUUGAACGUGACUCAGCCCAAUAUGACCUCCAGCCACAGGGCAGGAUACUGACCCAGUUAAACCAACAAAUGUGACGAAUAAUUUUUUAAAAAAAUUAUUUGAUUGAUUAAAAAUGUCAUGUCUCUAAUAUAACGGAUGAAUUCUAAAAUUUUUCCACAUAUAUAU